RNAcentral lists this long non-coding RNA (47363 nucleotides) under Gossypium barbadense (sea-island cotton). Its description in RNAcentral is "long non-coding RNA (GBAR_LNC018493)". Lineage: Eukaryota; Viridiplantae; Streptophyta; Magnoliopsida; Malvales; Malvaceae. The record is from RNAcentral.
AUCACCUGUAGACAUUUUUUUUAAACCUGCAAAACACUCAACACUCAAAAAUAAAAGUUAUCAAACCUCACCGUUAAUCACUCAAAAAGAAAAAAUCAAAUUCUCAAUGAGGUCGAAUUCAAUCUUGUGAGUUCUUUAUCAGAGUUUAUAUCAACCAAUUAGAGAAUGUGAACCAAACUACCAAAGAAUCCUAAUUUGCACUAGGAUGCCAAAAACUGACGAGACACCAAGUGAUUCGUGUUACACCGAGGAAGGAGUUGUGCACACGUGUAAAUCCUACUAACACAAGAAACAAGAAGAUGUUAGAUAACGUAACAGAAGAAUAAAAAGCAAACAAAUGAAAACCUACAGCUAAGAAUCAAUAAAAAUUGCUAAAACCAGAAAACCCGAAAAACUACGGAGUAACUUGACAACUUCGUUAGAGGUGUUCCUGAUCUCCAAAAAUCACGAAAUUAAAUCUGGAGUGUCCUUAUAUAUUGAAUUUUUGAUCUUGAAAUUUUGGGCACCAAAUUCAACCCGCUGACUCUUUUUUUAAAUUUUUAUUGAAUUUCGUCUUUUUUGAUUUUUUUGACUUUUUUGACUGAUUUUUUUGCGGGAAUAAUUUUUUAAUAUUCAAUCACAGUGCCAAAAAUAUGUAUGUAAAAUUUCAGAUCAAUCGGACAACGUUUACCCACUCAAAUGAAUUUUUUUUGAAUAAUUUUUGGGUAAAACUGCUGUUUAUGCUUUAAAAAAUAGAGAUCAGUUUAGAAAUCAACCAAGAACACCCAAAACACCCAAAAUCUGAUACCAAAUGAUACGGGGUUGCGCGCGGACCAAGAUCGAGUUGCCAAGUCACGAGAAACUCGUACGAAAACCCUAAACAAUUAGAUCUGAAACGAAAACAGAAAAUUAAAAGAUUAGAUUUUUGAAUUUUCAGAUCUGAAAUAAAAUCCCCAAAACAGUAAAGAAUCAAAUAGAGAAUAGAAAUAAGUGUUAGGGUUCUUGAAACCCUCAAGGAGAUUGUGAUUCUGCCCAAUUGAACACCAAGAUAGUUUUCCCCAAAUUUCGACAAUCUAAUUUCACCCAAAAAGAGUAUAGAAAAACCCUAGAAAUUGGGGAUUUUUGGGCUGAUUCCUUAAGAUAGAAAAAGGCUGAAAACACAAUAAGAACAGAAAAUAGAUUAGAUAAUGAUUCAGCACAAGUAGAAAUAAAGAAAGAAUUGACAGCAAGAAAUUAAAAGAUAAGUCCUAAGAAGCCUUGAAAUCUCGAAAGAUCUCACAACUCCCUUCAAACGGCUCUAAUCUCCCCUCCAAAGAAUAUCAAUGGCAAGAAGAAGGUUGAAGAUGGCUCCCACAAUCAAAAGAUUGUUAAAACAACUUCUAAAGAAAACUCAAGAGAGAAAUCUUGGAGAAAACUCAAAGAAAAUUCUGCUCUCAACAAAUCUGAAAUUUUAAUAAUAAUGAUAAGUGUUUAACAAGGUGGACAGCCAUGCCUUUAAAUAGGCCUUAUAACUAGUCCUAAUCUAAUUAGAAAACUAAAAUAAAAAAAACUCCUAAUUAUUUUAAUAUGGAAAUUCGGUCAAAGGUCAUUUUAUCUGGGACUCUUGGACUGAAUAUUGACAUAAAAAUUUAAACUAAGUAAAUAAAUAAAUAAAAAUAAAAAUAAAACUUUACAACUUGGGCCACUUUGACAAUUUGGCCUGAUUUUCAACUAAGUAUGGAUGGAUUUCUUGAUUGGGCUGGGAAUUUGCUUAUUGGGCCUCGCCUUCAAGAAUUUGGGCUUUUGUGACUCCUAUCACAUAGUGUAGUCGAAUCUCCGUUGUUGAGUUAACCUUUGUCAAAUGGAACUCAAACUUCAUGUACAACCACAUAAACUGUUUAAGGCACGAAUAUAAAUUGAAAACAAAUUUGGAAAAUUUUGUUACCUUAUUCUCCAAAACAGAUUUGGACAAAUUCGAGGAUUUUACACAAGGUAAAUCAAGAGAAUAACAAAUCACGCUUCUUUUCGUAAUGACUUUAUCAACCACAAUCGAAGAGUAACAAUUAAUCGGAUCAAAAUGAGGGGAUCUUUUAAGAACUAAGUCACCAAAAGUUUUAUCAAUAAUUUUCAAAUCUGCACUGGACUCGGUUUCUAAAAUUUCCUUACCUCGCUUACCUUCGGGAUCAUGUAGUGUGAUUUCAUCUUUGCCUAAGUUGAUCGUAUGAAAGCGUCUUUCAUUUGAGAGUUAUUGAAGUUGAAAGUUAUCUUUCGAUCUUUCGGGAACCUGAAAAGUAGCAACACAAGAAAAAUUCAUAUCUUGGUUAGUGGAAACAUUCCUCACUACCCUUUCCACGUCUUUUUCUUUUGUUUCUUUUUCUAAUUCAUUUUCUCUUCUUUCUUCAAUUUCUUUUUCACUCUCAAUCUCUUUUUGCUCUUUUUCAUUCUCUUUCUCUUUUUCCUCACUUGUUUUAACAGAAUUUUUCAGUUUGAUUUGGUCCUCAUGGACUUGUUCCAGAGUGAGCGGCACUAAGGUGAGUUUCUUUCCUUGAUGCUUGAAAGAAUACCUAUUGGUAGGACCAUCGUGAGUGACUUUUCGAUCCAGUUGCCACGGUUCUCCUAGCAACAAAUGGCAGGCUUGAAUAGGCAUUACGUCGCACACAACUUCGUCUUGAUACUUACCGAUAGAAAAGGCGAUGCGCACUUGUUGAGUGACCCUAAAUUGGCCUUCGUUGCUAAGCCCUUGUAGUUGAUAAGGUUGUGGAUGCUUGGUAGUGGUUAAGCAAAGCUUUUCCACCAUCGUCGUGCUGGCUAUGUUCGAGCAACUUUCACCAUCAAUAAUAACUCUACAAAGCUUACCUUGUACGUGGCAGCGAGUAUGAAAGAGAUGUUCUCGUUGCUGCUCGCUCCUUGGUUUUGCCAAAGAUGAUUGUCCAUGAUCAUGACAAUCAUCAUCCAUUCUAGGGACACGUUGAGGGUUGCGCCUAUGGGGCUGGUUAUUCCUAUAUUCUUUGAUUGGAUUUCGAUAUUGAGGUUCUUGAUUCAAUUGCACCUCAUUGAUGGUAGCAGUCAAAGCUCGAAGGGUAGCAUUUAUUUGUGUGAUUGCAGUAGCGUGUCCUUCUAACUGUUGUUGGACUUCCAUAAGUGUAUCAUUAUGGUCAUCUUUAGACAUCUUCCAAAAAAGCUGCAAAAAUAAACACUCAACACUCAAAAAUAAAAGUUAGCAAACCUCACGUUAAUCACUCAAAAAGAAAAUUCAAAUUCUCAAUGAGGUAGAAUUCAAUCUUGUGAGUUCUUUAUCAAAGUUUAUAUCAACCAAUUAGAGAGUGGAUGAACCGAUCUACCAAAGAAUCCUAAUGUGCACUAGGAUGCCAAAAACUGACGAGACACCAAUUGAUUCGUGUUGCACCGAGGAAGAAUUGGGCACACGUUUAAAUCCUACUAACACAAAAAACAAGAAGGUGUUAGAUAUUUUAAAGGGAGAAUAAAAAGCAAACAAAUGAAAACCUACAGCUAAGAAUCAAUAAAAAUUGUUGAAAACAGAAAACCCGAAAAACUACGGAGUAAUUUGACAACUUUGUUCGAGGUGUUCCCGAUCUCAAAAAAUCACAAAAUUAAAUAUGGAAUGUCUUCAAAUAUUGAAUUUUUGAUCUGGAAAAUUUGGACACCAAAUUCAACCCGCUGAAUAUUUUUUUAAUUUUUUAUUGGAUUUCGUAUUUUUUCAAUUUUUUGACUUUUUCGACUUAUUUUUUUGCGGGAAAUAUUUUUGUAUAUUCAAUAAUAGUGCCAAAAAUAUGUAUGUAAAAUUUCAGAUCAAUCAGAAAACGUUUACCCACUCAAAUGAAUUUUUUUCAAAAAUUUUUCUGGGUAAAACUGCUGUUUGUAAUUUAAAAAAUAAAGAUCAGUUUAGAAAUCAACCAAGAACACCCAAAACGCCCAAAAUCUGAUACCAAAUGAUACGGGGUUGCGCGCGGACCAAGAUCGAGUUGCCAAGUCACGGGAAACUCCUACGAAAACCCUAAACAAUCAGAUCCGAAACGAAACAGAAAAAUUAAAAGAUUAGAACUUUGAAUUUCCAGAUCUGAAAUAAAAUCCCCAAAUCAGCAAAGAAUCAAAUUGAGAAUAGAAAUAAGUGUUAGGGUUCUUGAAACCCUCAAGGAGAUUGUGAUUCUGCCCAAUUGAACACCAAGAUAGUUUUCCCCAAAUUUCGACAAUCUAAUUUCACCCAAAAAGAGUAUGGAAAAACCCUAGAAAUUGGGGAUUUUUGGGCUGAUUCCUUAAGAUAGAAAAAGGCUAAAAACACAAUAAGAACAGAAAAUAGAUUAGAUAAUGAUUCAGCACAAGUAGAAAUAAAGAAAGAAUUGACAGUAAGAAAUUAAAAGAUAAGUCCUAAGAAGCCUUGAAAUCUCGAAAGAUCUCACAACUCCUUUCAAACGGCUCUAAUCUCCCCUCCAAAGAAUAUCAAUGGCAAGAAGAAGGUUGAAGAUGGCUCCCACAAUCACAAGAUUGUUAAAACAACUUCUAAAGAAAACUCAAGAGAAAAAUCUUGGAGAAAACUCAAAGAAAAUUCUGCUCUCAACAAAUCUGAAAUUUUAAUAAUAAUGAUAAGUAUUUAACAAGGUGGACAGCCAUGCCUUUAAAUAGGCCUUAUAACUAGUCCUAAUCUAAUUAGAAAACUAAAAUAAAAAAAACUCCUAAUUAUUUUAAUAUGGAAAUUCGGUCAAAGGUCAUUUUAUCUGGGACUCUUGGACUGAAUAUUGACAUAAAAAUUUAAACUAAGUAAAUAAAUAAAUAAAUAAAUAAAUAAAUAAAAAUAAAACUUUACAACUUGGGCCACUUUGACAAUUUGGCCUGAUUUUCAACUAAGUAUGGAUGGAUUUCUUGAUUGGGCUGGGAAUUUGCUUAUUGGGCCUCGCCUUCAAGAAUUUGGGCUUUUGUGACUCGUAUCAAGAAGCCUUAAAAUCGAGAAAGAUUUCACAACUCCCUUCAAACGGCUCUAAUCUCCCCUCCAAUGAAGAACAAUGGCAAGAAGAAGGCUGAAAAUGGCUCCCACAAUCAAAAAGAUUGUUAAAACUACUUCUAAAGAAAACUCAAGAGAGAAUUCUUGGAGAAAACUCAAAGAGAAUUUCUACUCAGAAAAAUCUGAAAUUUUUAAUGUAAAGUAAUGUGUUUACUAGGGUGGCUGGCCAUGUGAUACGACCAUGCCCCGGGCACACUUUUGGAUCAGCUCCCUAAGCAUUGUUUGCAAAUCCAUGCGAGCUGAAUUAGUUCAAUUUCAUUUCGUUAAGCUCCGUUUAGCUCGUUUCCAGCUCACUCGAGCUCAAGUCAACUCACUCAAGCUCAAUUCAGCUCAAUCUUAACCCAAUGAGCUUAUUUUUAGCUUUUUUUAGCUUGCAUUUAUUUUGCUGAAAUAAACCAUUUAAUUUGUCAUUAGUUAAAUUAGUUGUUUAUCUUAAGUUAGUUAAUUUGUUAAAAUCUGGACAAAUAAUUAAUUAAGUGUUUUAAUUAUAUCUAAAUUAAAUACUUAAUUAAUUAUGAUGUUUUAAAUAUGUCUAAAAUUGUUAAUAUGUAUGGCCAAAUUUAAUGUGCAAAUUAUUGAGUUCAUAUGCUGCUAAUUUAAUGUGUUUGAAAUGCAUUUAACUUGCUGAUUUAAUUUGCUGCAGGUUCAUGAACGGAUUGGUGCAAUGUAUGGGAGUGUGCAUGCACAAUUGAGGUUCAAUGGAUGGCAUUUAAAGGAGCACAUGCAUUUGGGACGUUCAUGCAAGAGGGAGUUGCUGAAAGUUCAUGUAUUUGAAGAUUCAUGGAUCAUAUUUAUGGGGGAAAAUACAUGGGACGUUUCAUGCAUGAUUCAUGCAUUUUCAAGAUGACCAUUCAAGUAUUUUAGGCACAUUAAUGCCUCAUUCAGCCAAGGGAGAUGUAGGAUCAUUAAAGAGCUGCACAUUUAUGGAAUUAUGGAGAUUCUUCAAGGCUAAGGUUGCAUGAAAGCAUCAAGUGAAGCAUCAUGAUGGUUCAGCCAAUUCAUGUACCAUCUUCAAGCAUGAACUGGAUUUUAAUGCUAUUUGUGUGAACAUGUUAAAUACCUGUGUGAACAGAAUUUAAGUUAGUGUGAACAACAUAGAUGCCGAAUAUCAAUAGGCAUUUUAGGCUUAUAAAUAGCUUACUUGUUUAUUGUAAAAGGUUACAGAAUUUGAUCAAUUAAACUUAAUAGAACUUUUGUUCUUGUGAGGUUACCUCCUCUCUUCUUUCGUUCGAGUCUCGAAGCGACUUAUCUAGCUUGCUAGUAGUGUCAAUCCGAACUCCAUUGAACUUAUCACCGAAUCGGUGUGGCGUUCAACCAUCUUCCUAUACCUUUGGUUCUUACCUCCAUAUAGGUAACGGGUCAAGGUCCGCUUCUAUCCUUCAUCAAAAUUCACCUUAAGCAAUAUAAGACUCGGGGCAAUACUUUUUAGUAUUGAAUCAUUCUUAAAGUUUGAGUUCUUUAUCCAUUUCCAUUUAUUUAUCAUCUUUGUAACUUAAUUCUUUGUUAAACCGAACCUAUCUUUCAUCAAACCAAAACCCAUCCUUUGAACCCAUUUUGCCUACCUUCCGCUUAUAAAACAUUCAAACUCCAUCUAUCUACAAAUUUGAACGAGCUUCUCGUCGAUGAUCGGGCAUCUUAAGUGAACCCGACUCAAUUAAUCGGGCCGGAUCACAUCAUUUGGUAUUAGAGCUAUUAAAACGAGGAGUACCGAUGUUCGUAUCAAGCUUGGAAUAGGUUCGUAACGUAAAAAAAAGUAAAAAAAAAUCAAAAAAAUUGAGUUGGAAUUUAAUUUUUUUUCUCUUCCUUGUAUUUUGUUUACUAUUGUAUUGGAUUGAAAAAAAAAGAGAAGAAAUUCAGAAAAAAAAUUUCAAAAAAAAAGGAAAAAAAAAGAAGUGACAAAAAAUCGAGUUAAAAAAAAGAAAGAAAAAAAAGUGAAAAGUCUUGCGAGUUUUUAUCAUUAUCACUUAUUACUCCGAUCAUCAAGUUUCCCUUCCUACCAUUAUUUACCCAUCCCAACGCCACACUUUAAACCAAUUUUCUUCUUUAUUCAGCCUACCCUACACCCGACAUUAUCCCUUGUAACCAAUUUGAAACCGACCCUCAAGCAGCAAAUUAAGUCUACCGAGACAAAUCACGAAAUUGUGAGAAGAGGUUGAGUGGAAAAAGGCACGAGUGAAAUUACAUCAAAGAAAAAGCCAAAAUUUGAAUGUAAACACGAGUGCGAGUGAAAAUCAUUAUUUCCUUUUCGAGCGAAUUUGUGAGGUUUGUGGUAAGGUAUUUAUUUUCUUUAUUAUUUUUUUCUAACAUCUUCUUGUCAUUACUUAAUCAUGUCUCGAGAAACAUUUCCCGAAUCAGAAUUCCAAUAUUUGAUGCAAGAGAUGCGUAGAAUGGUGAAAUCAAAAUUUGAUAAAUUGCAUGAUCGAUUGGAUCAAGUGGAGGAAAGAGCCCGAUGGAAGCCAAACUCACCGGGUGAAGAGAUGGAGACAAGAUCAUCACGAAGGCACACAUCCAUUGAUUUUUUGGGAAGAGAUUCAUACCAUGAUUCCUAUUCAACGAGGAACUCAAGACGAAGCAAAGCAAGUUUUGAGUUUAAAGCUUUCCGAGGUGACGAACGAGAAAUCACAAGUAGUCCUUCGUAUGCACCGAGGUAUUCAUCCGCCAAGAAUCAAUCUCGAAGAGGUGAUCAUUUUUUGUAUGAAAGUCGUUCCAAUUAUACCCAACGAGAGUCAUUUCGUGCUGAUUCAUUUGUAACAUCUCCAUCCUAUAAUGAAAGAGCGAGGCAAAAAGAAAAAGAAAUAAGAAGAAAGGAAAGACAAGAAAUGUUGAUGAGAGAAAAUGAGCAUAUAUGGAAUGAAAUCGAGAGACGAAAAAAAGAAAUGAAAGAAAAGGAACAAGAAAUUGAAAAAGAGAGUGAGAUUGAAGAAAUAAACGAGAGUGUAAAAGAAACGAGUGUCAUGGAAAAAGAAAUUGAGAUUGAAAAAGGAUGUGAAAAAGAGAAAGAAAUCGAAAAAGAAAUUGAGAUUGAAAAAAAAUGUGAGGAAAAAGAGAAAAUUGAAAAAGAAAGAAAAGACAAUGAGUUAGAAAAACAAACGAGAGAAAAGGAGGCAAAAGAGCAAGAAAAAGUGAGGAAUCUGUUUACUAAACCACAUGAGAAUUUGUCUUGUUUUGUUUCCUCAUUUCAGGUCUCCGGAAGGCCAAGUGACGAUAAUUUUCAACUCCAAUACCUCUCGAAGGAGAGAAGGUUCAUUUUGGCUGAAAAAGGUAAUGUUCUCAACGAUCCUAGUUCGCCUAUGCCAAAAGGUAAGCAAGGUAUGAAUGUUGAAAAUUUUAAAGCACUUCUACCUUACUCGAUUGUUGAUGGACACACUGUUGAUGAUUUGGUCUUUAGAAAGAAUCUGAACUUUGACGUGGCUAUUUGUCAUUCUUUGAUUGAUGAUGAUCCAUUUUUUUUGUCUAAUGAUAAGAAGAUUCUUGCUUUUGAAAAAUAUCAUUUUGAUGGUAUUGGUUGUUUAUCUUUAACUUGCAAUGGAAUGCAUGUUUUGGAUGCGCAAGAUGAAAGUCCAUAUAAAAUGUUCAUUCUCACUGAUCAUGUUGAAAAGGAAUGGAAAUGUAUUGAUGAAUACGCCAUUGGCAAGAUUUUUGAUGAAGAGCGAAUAAAUCAGCACCAACAAAAUCUGGAAUUGUGUGAUCAAAAGUUGACAUAUCAUCUGCUUGGUUGUGUUGAUCAUGUGGAUUAUCUAAUUUUUGGUGUGAAAUUUCCAUGUUUUUGUAAAUCUUUUCGAAUGAAAUUUAAAGGGUUUGCUUGUUUGAAUUUGAGUAUGUUAACACCCUCGUUGUUUAAUUUGUGUAAAUCGUUGGAGAUAAAAGGACUCUUUUUGCCAUUUGGAUCGAGUAGUCAAAAUCAUGUCUUUAAUCCUGGAGUUUGCUAUUAUGAAUCAUCCAUGAAAGAAAGCAAGCAUCGUAAAAUUUGUUUGAAUGAAUGUGUAAACAAUCUUUGUUUGUAUGAUACUUUGUCUUUAAGUUUGAAAAUGAGCCAUGUGAAUCUUGUUGGUUUGUUAAGUCAAAAUCAAAAUUUUGUUUUCGGAGGAUGUUCUCAACUGUGGACUAAAAGAUCCGAACAUGUUUUGAAUGAUAAUGAUUUUGAGUUGCUUAGUGCUCUUUCUAUGAAGUCGGUCAUGAAAUUGCCAAAUCAAAUUGAAAUGGCAAGAGAAAAUUUUGUCUUUGACCCCGGUGAACACCAUUCUAUAUCAUUGCCUAAGGUAAUCGAACCAUGGAAAGUUGACUUCCAAAACCAUAGCUAUCAAAUGCCUUGUGAUUUAUGUUUGUUUCCAUCGAAGAAAAAGGUAAGAACGAUUUCUAUUUUCGACCCCGGUUUUGGAUUAUUUGUUCAAACUGUGAAUCAAAUCUCAAAAAGUCCCUUUGUGUUUAAUCUUCAUCGUGUCACUAAUUCGUUUUAUUCUUUUAAAGGUGACAACGUGAAGUGGUACCCUCCUAAAGAGGGAGGGCAUGUGAAUGAGCUUCUUUUGAUCCGAGUUAAUUGUGGCUUUCAGAAUCUUCAACGAUUUUUCGCGAGUAAAUGGCCCGAUUUGGGGACAAAUCGCUUUAAAGAGGGAGGGGAUGAACACUUUUGGAUCAGCUCCCUAAGCAUUGUUUGCAAAUCCAUUCGAGCUGAAUUAGUUCAAUUUCAUUUCGUUAAGCUCCGUUUAGCUUGUUUCCAGCUCACUCGAGCUCAAGUCAACUCACUCAAGCUCAAUUCAGCUCAAUCUUAACCCAAUGAGCUUAUUUUUAGCUUUCUUUAGCUUGCAUUUAUUUUGCUGAAAUAAACCAUUUAAUUUGUCAUUAGUUAAAUUAGUUGUUUAUCUUAAGUUAGUUAAUUUGUUAAAAUCUGGACAAAUAAUUAAUUAAGUGUUUUAAUUAUAUCUAAAUUAAAUACUUAAUUAAUUAUGAUGUUUUAAAUAUGUCUAAAAUUGUUAAUAUGUAUGGCCAAAUUUAAUGUGCAAAUUAUUGAGUUCAUAUGCUGCUAAUUUAAUGUGUUUGAAAUGCAUUUAACUUGCUGAUUUAAUUUGCUGUAGGUUCAUGAACGGAUUGGUGCAAUGUAUGGGAGUGUGCAUGCACAAUUGAGGUUCAAUGGAUGGCAUUUAAAGGAGCACAUGCAUUUGGGACGUUCAUGCAAGAGGGAGUUGCUGAAAGUUCAUGUAUUUGAAGAUUCAUGGAUCAUAUUUAUGGGGGAAAAUACAUGGGACGUUUCAUGCAUGAUUCAUGCAUUUUCAAGAUGACCAUUCAAGUAUUUUAGGCACAUUAAUGCCUCAUUCAGCCAAGGGAGAUGUAGGAUCAUUAAAGAGCUGCACAUUCAUGGAAUUAUGGAGAUUCUUCAAGGCUAAGGUUGCAUGAAUGCAUCAAGUGAAGCAUCAUGAUGGUUCGGCCAAUUCAUGUACCAUCUUCAAGCAUGAACUGGAUUUUAAUGCUAUUUGUGUGAACAUGUUAAAUACCUGUGUGAACAGAAUUUAAGUUAGUGUGAACAACAUAGAUGCCGAAUAUCAAUAGGCAUUUUAGGCUUAUAAAUAGCUUACUUGUUUAUUGUAAAAGGUUACAGAAUUUGAUCAAUUAAACUUAAUAGAACUUUUGUUCUUGUGAGGUUACCUCCUCUCUUCUUUCGUUCGAGUCUCGAAGCGACUUAUCUAGCCUGCUAGUGGUGUCAAUCCGAACUCCAUUGAACUUAUCACCGAAUCGGUGUGGCGUUCAACCAUCUUCCUAUACCUUUGGUUCUUACCUCCAUAUAGGUAACGGGUCAAGGUCCGCUUCUAUCCUUCAUCAAAAUUCACCUUAAGCAAUAUAAGACUCGGGGCAAUACUUUUUAGUAUUGAAUCAUUCUUAAAGUUUGAGUUCUUUAUCCAUUUCCAUUUAUUUAUCAUCUUUGUAACUUAAUUCUUUUUUAAACCGAACCUAUCUUUCAUCAAACCAAAACCCAUCCUUUGAACCCAUUUUGCCUACCUUCCGCUUAUAAAACAUUCAAACUCCAUCUAUCUACAAAUUUGAACGAGCUUCUCGUCGACGAUCGGGUAUCUUAAGUGAACCCGACUCAAUUAAUCGGGCCGGAUCCCAUCACCAUGCCUAUUAAUAGGCCUUCAAUCUAUUUCCUAAUCUCAUUAGGAAAACUAAAAAAAACCUAAUUAAUUAAAAUAAGAGGGAAAUUCGGCCAAGGCAUUUUUAAUGGGCUGCUUGGGCCAAAUUUUGACAAAUAAAAUUCUUAAAGUCUAAAAAUUAAAAUAGAUAUUCAAAUAAUUAAAAUUGUUACAAAUUGGGCCACUUUAACAAUUUUGCCUUAUUUUCAACUAAGUAUCGUUUGACUUCUUGAUUGGGCUUGGAAUCGUCUUAAUGGGCCUCGCCUUCAAGAACUUGGGCUUGUAGUCCAUCUCCUCCUAAAAUUGGUUUGUUGAUGCUCGUAACGGAGAUCCAAUGUGCUUUGGCUGCAAGAUUCGGUUUCUUGGACCAAGAUUUCAAAGAUUUGAAAUCUUUAUUUUCUUGAUUCUUGAAAUCGCUCCAAACAGCAAAAUUGGGCCAAGAUUAGGUUUCUUGAUUUUCUUGAAAACAAGAAAGUGAAUCUUGAUUUUCUCUUUCUUUCGUGUAUGCAUCUAAGGCCUUGCUAACAAAUUCCUAAAUGGUCCCAUUUAGUUUGGAACGCAUUUAUCUGGCCUUUGACCUCGUUAUUGGGCCUUGUUUUAAUUUGAGCCCAUCACGUUCUUAAGCUUAGGUUGGGCCUUUGUGACUCGUAUCAUUCCCCCUUCCUCAAAAAGAUUUGACCUUGAAUCUGAAAAAUCAAAUGGGGACAAGUCAGCCACAUUAAAAGUAGAACUUACAUUGUACUCACCAGGUAGAUCAAUUUUAUAAGCAUUGUCGUUGAUCCGCUCGAGUACUUGGAAAGGCCCAUCGCCCCUUGGGUCCAACUUGGACUUUCUUUUUGUAGGAAAUCGUUCUUUCCUCAUAUGGACCCAAACCCAAUCUCCGGGUUAUAGGAUAACCCAUUUGCGCCCCUUGUUUGCUUUGUUGGCGUUGGCAUCAUUUGUUUUGGCUAUUCGUUGCCUAGCCUUCUCAUGUAAGGAUUUCACAAACUCAGCUUUCUGUUCGCCAUCUAGAUUAACAAUUGUUCAAGUGGUAAUGGCGCAAGAUCAAGUACUGUUAGUGGGUUAAAGCCAUAAACAAGUUCAAAUGGAGAAUAACCAGUUGUAGAAUGAAUAGAUCUAUUAUAUGCAAAUUCAACAAAUGGUAGGCAUUCUUCCCAAUUUCUAAUUUUCUUUCCCACAACAGAUCGUAAUAAUGUCCCUAAGAUUCGAUUAACUACUUCAAUUUGGCCAUCAGUUCGGGGGUGACAUGUAGUGGAAUAAAGUAAUUUCGUACCAAGCUUGCCCCACAAUACCUUCCAAAAGUGGCUAAGGAAUUUGACAUCUCUAUCAGAAACAAUUGUUUUAGGGAUGCCAUUAAGUCUUACCACCUCUUUAAAGAAUAAGUGUGCCACAUGUGUAGCAUCAUCUGUUUUGUGACAAGGAAUAAAAUGUGCCAUCUUUGAAAAAUUGUCAACAACAACAAAUAUACUAUAUCUUCCUUUCUUAGUUCGAGGCAAACCUAGAAUAAAAUCCAUGGAUAAAUCUACCCAAGGUGAAGUAGGAAUCGGUAAAGGAGUGUAAAGGCCAUGAGGCAUUACCUUAGAUUUUGCUUGUUUACAUGUAAUGCACUUGGAACAUACCUUUUCGAUGUCCUUCUUCAUAUGUGGCCAAUGGAAGUGUUCUUGCAAGAUGUUUACUAUUUUGGAACUCCAAAAUGUCCCAUUAAACCCCCACCAUGGGCCUCAAGAAUCAGUAAGUCUCUCAUGGAACACUUUGGUAUGCAUAACCUGUUUAUACGAAAAAGAAAGCCAUCUACAAGAUAAAACUUUUCAAAAGUAGUAUGUCCACAAUUCUUAUAGAUGUGGCUGAAAUCAGCAUCAUCAUCAUAUAACUCCUUAAUGUGUUCAAACCCUAAGACUUUAGCAUUCAAUGUAGUUAUUAAAGUAUAUCGUCUAGACAAAGCAUCUGCAACUACAUUAUCUUUACCUGUUUUAUAUUUUAUCACAUAAGGGAAUGUUUCAAUGAAUUCUACCCAUCGGGCAUGUCGUUUACUCAACUUACCUUGUCCCUUUAACCAUUUAAGGGAUUCAUGAUCUGUGUGUAUGACAAAACUCAUUAGGCAGCAAAUAAUGUUGCCAUACUUGAAGUGCACGAACCAAUGCCAAUAGUUCUUUGUCAUAAGUUGAGUAGUUUAAUUGUGUACCGUUCAAUUUCUCACUAAAAUAAGCAAUUGGUUACUUAUCUUGCAUUAAAACAGCGCCAAUUCCAAUUCCUGAAGCAUCACACUCAAGUUCAAAAGUAUUAGUAAAAUCAGGUAAUUUAAGAAGAGGAGCAAAACAUAACUUAGCUUUUAGGGUCUGAAAAGCCUUUUCUUGGGUUUCACCCCAUUUGAAACCCACAGAUUUCUUUAUAACCUCUGUUAAUGGGGCAGCAAUAGUAGAGAAAUCUUUCACAAAUCUUAUAUAAAAACUAGCUAAACCAUGGAAAGUUCUCACCUCAGUUACCGAUUUAGGAGUCAGCCACUCCUUGAUUGCCUUGACUUUGUCCUCAUCGACAUGAAUACCUUGAGCACUAACUAUGAAACCUAAGAAUAUUAGCUUAUCACAACAGAAUGUGCAUUUAUCAAGGUUGGCAAAUAAUUUUUCAGAUCUCAGAAUAUCCAAAACAGUUCUAACAUGGAAAACAUGAUCAUCUAAGGUCUUGGAGUAAAUUAAAAUAUCAUCAAAGUGAACUACUACAAAGUUACCCAAGUGAAGCCUUAAAACGUGAUUCAUUAAUCUCAUAAAUGUACUAGGUCCAUUAGUAAGGCCAAAAGGCAUAACUAACCAUUCAUGCAGUCCAAAUUUUGUUUUAAAGGCUGUUUUCCAUUCACCCCCUUCCCUCAUUCGAAUUUGAUGAUAACCGUUUUUUAAAUCAAUUUUAGUAAAUAUGAUUGAGCCAUGUAAUUCAUCAAGCAUAUCAUCAAGUCUAGGAAUUGGAUGUCGAUAUUUUACCGUUAUUUUGUUGAUUGGGCGGCAAUCAACACACAUUCAAUGCGUACCAUCUUUCUUUGGUACCAAUAAGACAGGACGGCAUAAGGGCUUAGGCUCUCACGAAUGUACCCUUUGUCCAGUAAUUCCUCAACUUGCCUUUGCAAUUCCUUUGUCUCCUCGGGAUUGCAUCUAUAGGUUGGUUGAUUUGGUAUUGAAGUUCCAGGUACUAAGUCAAUUUGAUGUUCUAUCCCUCGUAAAGGUGGUAAACCUUUAGGGGCCUCGCUAAAAACAUCCUCAUAAUCCUGUAAAAGAGAUUGAAACACACUAGGCAAAUUUUCGUUAAUGUUAGAUAAAGAUAAAUAAUUUUGCCUAAACCUCACAAGGAUACAAGGCUAUUUAUUGAGUAUGGCUCUCCUCACUUCUUUUUUUGUUGCCAAAAUUUUUUUUCUCUCAUUUUACCACUUGUGGAUUCACUCACCUUUGGGCUUUUUAAAUUAACUUUUUCCACUAUUAGCCUCUUUUCUCUCUGUCUUUUGCACUUGUCCUUUCUCCCUUACCCCUCACAAAAUUUCAUCAUCUUCAAUUGAUCUUUAUAUACAUCAGUGGGAUCUAAAGGAGCAAAAGUGAAUUUUCUACCUUUAAACACAAGGGAGUAUCGAUUAAGCUUACCUUGGUGUGUCACAUCGCGAUCAAAUUGCCAAGGUCGUCCAAGGAGCAAGUGUGCCGCAUGCAUUGGGACCACAUCACACCAUACUUCAUCGUAAUAAUUCCCGAGCUUAAAAGUGACCAAGGACUAUUUCAUAACUUUAACUUGGAGCAUUCAUUAAGCCACUGAAGGUGAUAUGACUUAGGGUGUUUGGUACAAGGCAACUUUAAAGAAUUCUCCAAAUAGCUACUCACUACAUUCGAGCAACCCCCACUAUCAAUAAUGAGUGAACAUAAGUUACCUUUAAUAAAACACCAAGAAUGGAAAAUAUUGGUCCUUUGGUUAUCAUCAUCUUUCAUCUGAAUGUUAAGGGUUCGGCGAACUACAAGGCAUUGAAAAUCAGCAAAGUCCCCUUCUUUUGGUGGUUCAACCAACUCUUCGCCAUUAUCACUGUCAUCCACAAGUUCUGGCAUAUCUGGAUCUGUUUUAUCAGAGUCAGAAGUGUAUUCACCAUUAUCUUUCAGAAAAAGUAAUCUCAUGUUAGGGCAUUCCUUACUAUAAUGACCACGCCCUUUGUACUUAAAGCAUUCGAUCUCACGAGUCCUCUUCACACUCGAAUCACCUAAAUUGGGCUGCUUAAAAGGUGUUUGCAUUUUAACAGGAGCCCCUUUUUUCCAAUCUGAUUGCUUACUUCCAUUACUCAAAGAAGACUUAUUAGUAACAAAAGGGGAUUUUGAACUUUUAAAAUCAGAAUUGGAAUUGUUACCUCGAUAAUAUUGUGAAGUAGAGAAGGAACCAAACCUUUGUUCCUUUAAUUGUUGCUCGAUCUCAAUGGCUUUGUGAACUACUUUUUCCAAAUCAAUGUAAGUUUGUAGCCUCAAUGUAUUAGCUAUCGGCUUGUUCAAACCAUCAAUAAAUCGAACCAUAGUUGUUUCCUCAUCCUCGUCCACAAUAGCUCUCUGAAUGAGCAUUUCCAUCUUAAAAUAUUCAUCCACCGUCCUACUACCUUGAACAAGUCUUCUAAGCUUUGUUUUAAUCUCUCUAUAAUAGUGAGGUGGAAAUAAAUCUUUUAUGCAUAAUCUAUUUCAACUCAUCCCAUGUCAAAAUCUCACCUUUAUAAUUUCGAUGAUGAUUUACCCCAAGUUGAGUCCACCAACUGAAUGCAUAAUCUAAAAAUUCCAGCGUUGCUAACGCUACCUUUUCAUCAUCUGGACAUUUAUAAUAUCAAAACAUAAGUUCAAUCUUAGAUUCCCAUUCACAAUAAGCUUCUGAAUCAUUCUUACCAUGAAAUUGGGGAAUUGUGAACUUCGAUUUUGCCCACGAUCAUGAAAAUCAGAGCCAGUUCUAGGGACACGUCGAGGACCGCGCCGACGAUCAGGAGGCUGGUUAUCCAUAUCUUCUUUAAUUGGAUCGCGAUAUUGAGGUUCUUGAUUUAAUCGUACCUCAUUUAAAGCAGCACUUAAAGUUCUGAGUAAGGCAGCCUGUUCGUCUAACUGUUGUUGGAAUUUUGUAAAUGUGUCGUAGACAUCAUUAUGAUCAUUAUCACCUUGACCAACCUCAGACAUUUUCAAAAACCUGUAAAAUAAACACUCAACACUCAAAAAGAAAAGUUAGCAAACCUCACCGUUAAUCACUCAAAAAGAAAAAAUCAAAUUCUCAAUGAGGUAGAAUUCAGUCUUGUGAGUUCUUUAGUAGAGUCUAUAUCAACCAAUUAGAAAGUGUACGAACCGAACUACCAAAGAAUCCUAAUUUGCACUAGGAUGCCAAAAAAUUGACGUGACACCAACUGAUUUGUGUCGCACCGAGGAAGAAUUUUGCACACUUUAAAAAUCCUACUAACACAAGAAACAAUAAGGUGUUAGAUAGUGUAAAGGGAGAAUAAAGGCAAACAAAUGAAAACCUACAGCUAAGAAUCAAUAAAAAUUGCUGAAACCAGAAAACUUGAAAAACUGCGGAGUAACUUGACAACUUCGUUUGAGGUGUUCCCGAUCUCAAAAAAUCAUGAAAUUGAAUAUGGAAUGUCCUUAAAUAUUUAAUUUUUGAUCUGGUAAUUUUGGUCACCAAACUCAACCCGCUGAAUCUUUUUUUAAAAUUUUUAUUGGAUUUUGUAUUUUUCGAUUUUUUUGACUUUUUUGACUGAAUUUUUUGCGGGAAAUAUUUUUUUAUAUUCAAUCACAAUGCCACAAAUAUGUAAGUAAAAUUUUAGAUCAAUCAGACAACGUUUACCUACUCAAAUGAAUUUUUUUCAAAAAAUUUUUCUGGGUAAAACUGCUAUUUGUAGUUUAAAAAAUAGAGAUCAGUUUAGAAAUCAACCAAGAACACCCAAAACGCCCAAAAUCUGAUACCAAAUGAUAGAGGGUUGCGCACAGACCAAGAUCGAGUUGUCAAGUCACGAGAAAAUUCCUACAACGCUCUAGACGAUCAGAUCUGAAACGAAAUAGAGAAUUGAAGUUAGAUUCGAUUAGAUCUGAAAUAAAAACUAUCAAUGAACAGCAAGAAUCAAAAACACCCUUAUAGAUGGCUAUUCUUGGAAACCAAGAAUCGAUUUGAAAUUAGGAAUUAAAACGGUUCUUGAAACCCAAGGAGAUGUUGAUUUGCCCAAAUCGAAACAGCAACUAAUUUUUUCCCAAAAAUUCCAGCAACCGAAUCAAUCAGAUUUGAAAAAAAGAAAUUGGCAAGAACAAUAAAUUUUAGGGAUCUUGAACGAUCUUUGCUACGAAUAACAAGGGGGGCAAUCCGAUCUUUAACGAAGAAGGGGGCGAAUCAGAUCUUGGAUGUUUUGGAAAGUCUGAAAUGCAACAAGAACAACAAACAAAUUAAUUACAUAAAAAUCGACGCAAAUAGGUUUUAAAAAGAAAGAAUGAUAGCAAGAAAUAAAUAUAAGUCCUAAGAAGCCUUGAAAUUGAGAAAGAUUUCACAACUCCCUUCAAACGGCUCUAAUCUCCCCACCAAUGAAGAACAAUGGCAAGAAGAAGGCUGAAGAUGGCUCCCACAAUAAAAAAGAUUGUUAAAACUACUUCUAAAGAAAACUCAAGAGAGAAUUCUUGGAGAAAACUCAAGAGAGAAUUCUUGGAGAAAACUCAAAGAGAAUUUCUACUCAGAAAAAUCUAAAAUUUUUAAUGUAAAGUAAUGUGUUUAUAAGGGUGGCCGGCCAUGCCUAUUAAUAGGCCUUCAAUCUAUUUCCUAAUCUCAUUAGGAAAAUUAAAAAAAUCUAAUUAAUUAAAAUAAGAGGGAAAUUCGGCCAAGGCAUUUUUAAUGGGCUGCUUGGGCUGAAUUUUGUCAAAUAAAAUUCUUAAAGUCUAAAAAUUAAACUAGAUAUUCAAAUAAUUAAAAUUAUUACAAAUUGGGCCACUUUAACAAUUUGGUCUGAUUUUCAACUAAGUAUGGUUUGACUUCUUGAUUAAGCUUGGAAUUGUCUUAAUGGGCCUCGCUUUCAAGAACUUGGGCUUGUAGUCUAUCUCCUCCCGAAAUUGGUUCCUUGAUGCUCGUAACGGAGAUCCAAUGUGCUUUGGCUGCAAGAUUCAGUUUCUUGGACCAAGAUUUUGAUACGAGUCUCAAAGGCCCAACCCAAGAACGUGAUGGGCUCAAACUACCACAAGGCCCAAUAACGAGAUCAAAGGCCCGAAAAAUGCGUUCCAAACUAAAUGAGACCAUUCAAGAAUUUAUUAGCAAGGCCUUAGAUGCGUACACAAAAGAAAAAAAAUCAAGAUUCACUUUCUUGUUUUCAAGAAAAUCAAGAAACUGAAUCUUGGCCCAAUUUUGCUGUUUGGAGCGAUUUCAAGAAUCCAGAAAUUCAAGAUUUCAAAUCUUGGAAAUCUUUGUCCAAGAAACCGAAUCUUGCAACCAAGGCGCAUUGGAUCUCCGUUACGAGCAUCAACGACCCAAAUUUGGUAGGAGAUGGAUCACAAGCCCAAAUUCUUGAAGGCGAGGCCCAAUAAGCAAAUUCCAGCCCAAUCAAGACUUUCAUAUAUACUUAGUUGAAAAUCAGGCCAAAAUGUCAAAGGGCUCAAUUUAUAAACAUUUUAAUUGUUAAUUUAAAUUUUUUAGGCUCUAGGAAUAUGAAGUGUUAAAUUCGGCCCAAACAGCCCAUGUAUUUGGCCGAAAUUCUCUUAUUGUUUUUAUUAAUUAGGUUUAAAUUUUAAGUUUCCUAAUGAGAUUAGGAUUAGUUGGAGGCCUAUAUGAUGCGAACCAGCCUCGGUUUAAUGAGUUGAAUCGCUUUUGUUGCCUGAUCGUCCAAACGAUGAAGUUUCGUUCUUCUUGAGUCAAUUCGUUCUACUUGAUCAAUGAAGUUAUUUGAGGUUCAAUUGAGAUUAAAGAAAGUGAUUUGCAAGGUAUUUUGGCUAAGAAAGAAAUAAUGAAUUUGGAUAGGUGAUGAUUCGGUUUUAAAGGUAUAUGGAAUGAUUGGCUUAAAAACAAGAAAGAACCAACACUAAAUGUAGUUGAGUGUUAACCCGUUUCCUAUAUGCUUUUAAGAUGGUUCGGUAGUGAAAUAGAUAGAAUUAACCUCGACCCGCUACCUAUUGAAGAUAGGAACCUCGGUAUAGUUGAAUGCCACACUUUGGUUGAAAGUGAUAAGUUCGGGUUGCAAAGAACAAAGGUUGACGCCACUAACUAGUAGAUAAGCCAACUAAGUCUUUGGACUAAAUUGAGAGAAGAAUUCCUCACAAAAUACUUAAUUCAAUAAUCAAAAUGGACAAAGUCCUUUUACAAAUAAACAAUCAAAUAUUUAUAGUUCUUCAAAGGCUAGCCGAAUAGACAAACUUAAAAGCUAAGAAAAAUCAAGAAAAUUCCAGAAUUAAUUCCUCAAGAAGAUUCGGCUAAAUAGGCAUUCAAAUGGACAGCUUAAGCAUGAAGAAAAUGCACCUUGCAAAGAUGAUUCAAUACUAAAAAGUAUUGCCCCGAGUCUUAUAUUGCUUAAGGUGAAUUUUGAUGAAGGAUAGAAGCGGACCUUGACCCGUUACCUAUAUGGAGGUAAGAACCAAAGGUUUAGGAAGAUGGUUGAACGCCACACCGAUUCGGUGAUAAGUUCAAUGGAGUUUGGAUUGACACCACUAGCAAGCUAGAUAAGUCGCUUCGAGACUCGAACGAAAGAAGAGAGGAGGUAACCUCACAAGAACAAAAGUUCUAUUAAGUUUAAUUGAUCAAAUUCUGUAACCUUUUACAAUAAACAAGUAAGCUAUUUAUAAGCCUAAAAUGCCUAUUGAUAUUCGGCAUCUAUGUUGUUCACACAGGUAUUUAACAUGUUCACACAAAUAGCAUUAAAAUUCAUUUCAUGCUUGAAGAUGGUACAUGAAUUGGCCGAACCAUCAUGAUGCUUCACUUGAUGCAUUCAUGCAUCCUUAGCCUUGAAGAAUCUUCAUAAUUCCAUGAAUGUGCAGCUCUUUAAUGAUCCUACAUCUCCCUUGGCUGAAUGAGGCAUUAAUGUGCCUAAAAUACUUGAAUGGUCAUCUUGAAAAUGCAUGAAUCAUGCAUGAAACGUCCCAUGUAUUUUCCCCCAUAAAUAUGAUCCAUGAAUCUUCAAAUACAUGAACUUUCAGCAACUCCCUCUUGCAUGAACGUCCCAAAUGCAUGUGCUCCUUUAAAUGCCAUCCAUUGAACCUCAAUUGUGCAUGCGCACUCCCAUACAUUGCACCAAUCCGUUCAUGAACCUGCAGCAAAUUAAAUCAGCAAGUUAAAUGCAUUUCAAACACAUUAAAUUAGCAGCAUAUGAACUCAAUAAUUUGCACAUUAAAUUUGGCCAUACAUAUUAACAAUUUCAGACAUAUUUAAAACAUCAUAAUUAAUAAAGUAUUUAAGUUAGAUAUAAUUAAAACACUUAAUUAAUUAUUUGUCCAGAUUUAACAAAUUAAUUAACUUAAAAUAAACAACUAAUUCAACUAAAGACAAAUUAAAUGGUUUAUUUCAGGAAAAUAAAAGAAAGCUAAAAAUAAGCUCAUUGGGUUAAGAUUGAGCUGAAUUGAGCUUGAAUGAGUUGACUUGAGCUCGAGUGAGCUGGAAACGAGCUAAACGGAGCUUAACGAAAUGAAAUUGAACUAAUUCAGCUCGCAUGGAUUUGCAAACAAUGCUUAGGGAGCUGAUCCAAAAGUGUGCCCGGGGCAUGGUCGUAUCAUCCCCUCCCUCUUUAAAGCGAUUUGUCCCCAAAUUAGGCCAUUUACUCGCGAAAAAUCGUUGAAGAUUCUGAAAGCCACAAUUAACUCGGAUCAAAAGAAGCUCAUUUGCAUGCCCUCCCUCUUUAGGAGAGUACCACUUCACAUUGUCACCUUUAAAAGAAUAAAAAGAAUUAGUGACACGAUGAAGAUUAAACACAAAGGGACUUUUUGAGAUUUGAUUCACAGUUUGAACAAAUAAUCCAAUACCGGGGUCAAAAACAGAAAUCGUUCUUACCUUUUUCUUCGAUGGAAACAAACAUAAAUCACAAGGCAUUUGAUAGCUAUGGUUUUGGAAGUCAACUUUCCAUGGUUCGAUUACCUUAGGCAAUGAUAUAGAAUGGUGUUCACCAGGGUCAAAGACAAAAUUUUCUCUUGCCAUUUCAAUUUGAUUUGGCAAUUUCAUGACCGACUUCAUAGAAAGAGCACUAAGCAACUCAAAAUCAUUAUCAUUCAAAACAUGUUCGGAUCUUUUAGUCCACAGUUGAGAACAUCCUCCGAAAACAAAAUUUUGAUUUUGACUUAACAAACCAACAAGAUUCACAUGGCUCAUUUUCAAACUUAAAGACAAAGUAUCAUACAAACAAAGAUUGUUUACACAUUCAUUCAAACAAAAUUUACGAUGCUUGCUUUCUUUCAUGGAUGAUUCAUAAUAGCAAACUCCAGGAUUAAAGACAUGAUUUUGACUACUCGAUCCAAAUGGCAAAAAGAGUCCUUUUAUCUCCUACAAUUUACACAAAUUAAACAACGAGGGUGUUAGCAUACUCAAAUUCAAACAAGCAAACCCUUUAAAUUUCAUUCGAAAAGAUUUACAAAAACAUGGAAAUUUCACACCAAAAAUUAGAUAAUCCACAUGAUCAACACAACCAAGCAGAUGAUAUGUCAACUUUUGAUCACACAAUUCCAGAUUUUGUUGGUGCUGAUUUAUUCGCUCUUCAUCAAAAAUCUUGCCAAUGGCGUAUUCAUCAAUAUAUUUCCAUUCCUUUUCAACAUGAUCAGUGAGAAUGAACAUUUUAUAUGGACUUUCAUCUUGCGGAUCCAAAACGUGUAUUCCAUUGCAAGUUAAAGACAAACAACUAAUAUCAUCAAGAAAAUAAUAUUUUUCAAAAGCAAGAAUCUUUUUAUCAUCAGACAAAACAAAUGGGUCAUCAUCAAUCAAAGAAUGACAAGUAGCCACUUCAAAGUUUAGAUUCUUUCUAAAGACCAAAUCAUCAACAGUGUGUCCAUCAACAAUCGAGUAAGGCAGAAGUGCUUUAAAAUUUUUAACAUUCAUACCUUGCUUACCUUUUGGCAUAGGCGAACUAGGAUCGUUGAGAACAUUACCUUUUUCAGCCGAAGUGAACCUUCUCUCCUUCGAGAGGUAUUGGAGUUGAAAAUUAUCGUCACUUGGCCUUCCGGAGACCUGAAAGGAGGAAACAUAACAAGACAAAUUCUCAUGUGGUUUAGUAAACAAAUUCCUCACUUUUUCUUGCUCUUUUGCCUCCUUUUUCUCUCGUUUGUUUUUCUAACUCAUUGUCUUUUCUUUCUUUUUCAAUUUUCUCUUUUUCCUCACACUUUUGUUCAAUCUCAAUUUCUUUUUCGAUUUCUUUCUCUUUUUCACAUCCUUUUUCAAUCUCAAUUUCUUUUUCCAUGACACUCGUUUCUUUUACACUCUCGUUUCUUUCUUCAAUCUCACUCUCUUUUUCAAUUUCUUGUUCUUUUUCUUUUAUUUCUUUUUUUUGUCUCUCGAUUUCAUUCCAUAUAUGCUCAUUUUCUCUCAUCAACAUUUCUUGUCUUUCCUUUCUUCUUAUUUCUUUUUCUUUUUGCCUCGCUCUUUCACUAUAGGAUGGAGAUGUUACAAAUGAAUCAGCACGAAAUGACUCUCGUUGGGUAUAAUUGGAACGACUUUCAUACAAAAAAUGAUCACCUCUUCGAGAUUGAUUCUUGGCGGAUGAAUACCUCGGUGCAUACGAAGGACUACUUGUGAUUUCUCGUUCGUCACCUCAGAAAGCUUCAAACUCAAAACUUGCUUUGCUUCGUCUUGAGUUCCUCGUUGAAUAGGAAUCAUGGUAUGAAUCUCUUCCCAAAAAUCAAUGGAUGUGUGCCUUCGUGAUGAUCUUGUCUCCGUCUCUUCACCCGGUGAGUUUGGCUUCCAUCGGGCUCUUUCCUCCACUCGAUCCAAUCGAUCAUGCAAUUUAUCAAAUUUUGAUUUCAGCAUUCUACGCAUCUCUUGCAUCAAAUAUUGGAAUUCUGAUUCGGGAAAUGUUUCUCGAGACAUGAUUAAGUAAUGACAAGAAGAUGUUAGAAAAAAAUAAUAAAGAAAAUAAAUACCUUACCACAAACCUCACAAAUUCGCUCAAAAAGGAAAUAAUGAUUUUCACUCGCACUCGUGUUUACAUUCAAUUUUUGGAUUUUUCUUUGAUGUAAUUUCACUCAUGCCUUUUUCCACUCAACCUCUUCUCACAAUUUCGUGAUUUGUCUCGGUAGACUUAAUUUGCUGCUUGAGGGUCGGUUUCGAAUUGGUUUACAAAGGAAAUAACGUCAGGUGUAGGGUAGGCUAAACAAAGAACAAAUUUUGUUUAAAGUGUGGCGUUGGGAUGGGUAAAUAAUGGUAGGAAGGGAAACUUGAUGAUCGGAGUAAAUAAGAUAAGAAAAUAAAAACUCGCAAGACUUUUCACUUUUUUUUAACUUGAUUUUUUUUUGCUCACCUUUUUUUCUUUUUUUUUUCUCGAUUUUUUUUCACUUUUUUUUGAAUUUUUUUUCAAUCAAUUUUUUUUGAUUUUUUUUAAUUUCCUCUUCUUUUUUUUUAUUUUUUUGUUCAAUUACAAUAUGCUAAAAUACAAAGGGAAGAGAAAAGAGAAAAAAAAAUUACAACCUGAAUUUUUUUUAUUUUUCUUUCACGUUACGAACCUACUCUGAGCUUGAUACGAAAGUUGGCGCUCCUCGUUUUAGUAGCUCUGAUACCAAAUGAUGUGAUCCAGCCCGAUUGGUUGAGUCGGGUUCACUUAAGAUGUCCGAUCGUCGACGAGAAGCUCAUUCAAAUUUGUAGAUAGAUGGAGUUUGAAUGUUUUAUAAGCGGAAGGUAGGCAAAAUGGGUUCAAAGGAUGGGUUUUGGUUUGAUGAAAGAUAGGUUCGGUUUAACAAAGAAUUAAGUUACAAAGAUGAUAAAUAGAUGGAAAAGGAUAAAGAACUCAAACUUUAAGAAUGAUUCCGAGUCUUAUAUUGCUUAAGGUGAAUUUUGAUGAAGGAUAGAAGCGGACCUUGACCCGUUACCUAUAUGGAGGUAAGAACCAAAGGUAUAGGAAGAUGGUUGAACGCCACACCGAUUCGGUGAUAAGUUCAAUGGAGUUCGGAUUGACACCACUAGCAAGCUAGAUAAGUCGCUUCGAGACUCGAACGAAAGAAGAGAGGAGGUAACCUCACAAGAACAAAAGUUCUAUUAAGUUUAAUUGAUCAAAUUCUGUAACCUUUUACAAUAAACAAGUAAGCUAUUUAUAAGCCUAAAAUGCCUAUUGAUAUUCGGCAUCUAUGUUGUUCACACAGGUAUUUAACAUGUUCACACAAAUAGCAUUAAAAUUCAGUUCAUGCUUGAAGAUGGUACAUGAAUUGGCCGAACCAUCAUGAUGCUUCACUUGAUGCAUUCAUGCAUCCUUAGCCCUGAAGAAUCUUCAUAAUUCCAUGAAUGUGCAGCUCUUUAAUGAUCCUACAUCUCCCUUGGCUGAAUGAGGCAUUAAUGUGCCUAAAAUACUUGAAUGGUCAUCUUGAAAAUGCAUGAAUCAUGCAUGAAACGUCCCAUGUAUUUUCCCCCAUAAAUAUGAUCCAUGAAUCUUCAAAUACAUGAACUUUCAGUAACUCCCUCUUGCAUGAACGUCCCAAAUGCAUGUGCUCCUUUAAAUACCAUCCAUUGAACCUCAAUUGUGCAUGCACACUCCCAUACAUUGCACCAAUCCGUUCAUGAACCUGCAGCAAAUUAAAUCAGCAAGUUAAAUGCAUUUCAAACACAUUAAAUUAGCAGCAUAUGAACUCAAUAAUUUGCACAUUAAAUUUGGCCAUACAUAUUAACAAUUUCAGACAUAUUUAAAACAUCAUAAUUAAUAAAGUAUUUAAGUUAGAUAUAAUUAAAACACUUAAUUAAUUAUUUGUCCAGAUUUAACAAAUUAAUUAACUUAAAAUAAACAACUAAUUCAACUAAAGACAAAUUAAAUGGUUUAUUUCAGGAAAAUAAAAGAAAGCUAAAAAUAAGCUCAUUGGGUUAAGAUUGAGCUGAAUUGAGCUUGAAUGAGUUGACUUGAGCUCGAGUGAGCUGGAAACGAGCUAAAUGGAGCUUAACGAAAUGAAAUUGAACUAAUUCAGCUCGCAUGGAUUUGCAAACAAUGCUUAGGGAGCUGAUCCAAAAGUGUGCCCGGGGCAUGGUCGUAUCACAAGGGAUAUUCCUGCACCAAAUUAAAUCAACAAGUUAGUUCAUGCAACACAUACAUUAAAUUCGGCAGCAUAGGGAUAUAAAAAUCUGCUCAUUUAGUUCGGUCAACUAAAUAAAUAUUUGUGGUAGUUUAAGACAUAUUUAAGGCACUAGACUAAUUAGGACAUAUUAAAUAACACUCAAUAAUUAUUUUGACCAGAAAUUAAACUCAAUUAAUUAACUUAACUAAUUUAACUAACAACUUAAAUAAAUAUUCCAGCAAAAUAAAUAUAAACGCAAUUGAGGUUAAAAUGAGCUGAUUGAGCUAAGAGGGAGCUCGAUGAGCUAAAGUUGAGCUGAAUGAACUUGAAGUAGAUUGCACGGAUUGCUUAAUUUGCUGGCCCAUGAUUUUUCAAGUAGAAUAGCCACGGAUUCACUCCAAGCUCGAUCCACCAAAGUUGAAAUUGCAUUCUUGAACUUAUUAGCUCUAGCUCGAGUAAUGGGUCCUUUUGGUAGCUCAAGGGAAAUAUCAUUAACACUCGAUAGCUAUUGGGUCUCGAUCGCAUCAUUCCCUCCCUCUUCGAGGUGAUUUGCCCCCAAAUCGCUUCCUGCAUCAAACGGAGAAAGAUCAGCAACAUUAAAACUUGCACUAAUGUUAUCAUCACCUGGAAGAUCAAGCUUGUAUGAAUUUUCAUUAAUUCGUUCCAACACUUGAAAGGGACCAUCUCCUCUUGGUAGCAGCUUUGACCUUCCUUGUGCCGGAAAACGUUCUUUUCUGAUGUGAACCCAAACCCAGUCUCCGGGUUCAAACACUAUUUGCUUUCUUCCUUUAUUUGCUGAAUGCAUAUAUUGUUCGGUUUGAGCUUCGAUGUUGGCCUUCACCCUUUGAUGAAGUUUCUUUAUAUAUUCGGCUUUUUUCUUAGCAUCAGAAUGGACAAGCUGAUCAUUGGGCAAAGGAAGCAAGUCUAACAAAGUUAGAGGGUUGAACCCAUACACAACCUCGAAUGGUGAAUGUCUAGUAGCAGAAUGAACGAAUCUGUUGUAAGCAAAUUCUACAUGCGGUAGACAAUCUUCCCACGCUUUGAGGUUCUUUCGAAUAAUUGCCCGCAAUAAGGUUGAAAGUACGCGAUUCACAACCUCCGUUUGUCCAUCCGUUUGAGGAUGACAUGUUGUUGAAAAUAGCAGCUUCGUUCUUAACCUUCCCCAUAGAGUUCUCCUAAAAUGACUUAGGAACUUUGUGUCUCGAUCGGAUAUGAUGGUUUUCGGAACUCCAUGAAGUCGUUCAACCUCCCUAAAGAACAAAUUAGCAAUAUGGACAGCAUCGUCAGUUUUAGAAUAAGCUAUAAAAUGUUACAUUUUGGAAAAUCUAUUGAUACGAGUCAUAAAGGCCCAAUCCAAGUUCAAAAACGUGAUGGGCUCAAAUUGCCACAAGGCCCAAUAACGAGAUCAAAGGCCCGACAAAUGCGGUCCAAACUAAAUGGGACCAUUCAAGAGCUUGUUAGCAAGGCCUUAGAUGCAUACACGAGAGAACAAGAAAAUCAAGAUUCACUUUCUUGUUUUCAAGAAAAUCAAGAAAUCGAAUCUUGGCCCAAUUUUGCUGUUCGAAGAGAUUUCAAGAAUCAAAAAAAUCAAAAUUUCAAAUCUUGGAAAUCUUGGUCCAAGAAACCAAAUCUUGCAGCCAAAACGCAUUGGAUCUCCAUUACGAGCGUCAACGACCCAAUUUUGGUAGGAGAUGGAUCACGAGCCCAAAUUCUUGAAGGCGAGGCCCAAUAACCAAAAUCCAGCCCAAUCAAGAAAUUUCUUCAUACUUAGUUGAAAAUCAGGCCAAAAUGUCAAAGGGCCCAAUUUGUAAACAUCUUACUUGUUUAAUUUAAUUUUUUAAUCUUUAGGAGCAUUACAUGUAAAAUUCGGCCCAAAACAGCCCAUAUAAGUGCAUGGCCGAAUUUACCUUGUUAUUUUAUUAAUUAGGUUUAAUUUUUUAUUAGUUACUUGUGAGAUUAGGAUUUGUUGGAGGCCUAUAUAAGCAUUGGCCAGCCACCCUUUGUAAAAACAUCUUAUUAUCAAUCAAUACAUUAAAUUUCAGUUUGUUAGAGUGCAGAAUUUUCUUUGGGGUUUUCUCCAAGAAUUCUCUCUUGAGCUUUCUUUAGAAGUUGUUUUAACAAUCUUUUGAUUGUGGGAGCCAUCUUCAACCUUCUUCUUGCCAUCGAUAUUCUUUGGAGGGGAGAUUAGAGCCGUUUGAAGAGAUUUGUGAAAUCUUUCGGGAUUUCAAGGAUCUUUAGGACUUAUCCUUUAAUUUUUGCUGUUCAAAUUCUUUUAUUUAAUUCUACUUGUGCCGAAUCUUAAUUCUAAUCUAUUUGCUGUUUUAUUUGUGUUUCCAGCCCUCGUUUAUCUUAAAGAAUUGAUCAAUUUCACUUUUUGCUGGAGUUUGACAAUCAGCCUAAAUCCCCAAAUUCUAGGGUUCUUGCCGAAUGCACACUUAUUCUUCUUGGGUGAAUUUGGUUGUGGAAACUUAGGGGAAACUUUCGUGGUGGUCAAUUGAGCAGAUUGCCCUCGCUUUCUCAGCCUCAAGAGCCGUUUUAUGCCUUCAAUUUCUUUCUUUCUCAUUGACGCAUAAACCCUAAUUUGUUUCAAGAAAUUUUGGUCGAUCUAAUUUGCUUGCUGAUUUAGUGUUCUGACAGAUUCGGCUUGUGGGAGUUCAUUCUUGGGAAUCAAUUUCGUGUUCUUGGUUUCAAGAAACCUCUUUCAUAAGUGUUUCGUUCCUUGAUUAGAUCUUGCUGAUUUUUAGGGUUCUUAUUCCAGAUUUUAAUUUUCCAGAUUUAAUCUCGUUCUUUGUUUGAUUUCAGAUCUGUUCGUUUAGAGCUUUCGUAGGAGUUUCCCGUGACUUGAUGACUCGAUCUUGGUCCGCGCGUGUUCCUAUAUCAUUUGGUAUCAGAUUUUGGGCGUUUUGGGUGUUCUUGGUUGAUUUCUAAACUGAUCUCUAUUUUUUAAAGCAUAAACAGCAGUUUUACCCAGAAAAAUUGUUCAAAAAAAAUUCAUUUGAGUGGGUAAACGUUGUCCGAUUGAUCUGAAAUUUUACAUACAUGUUUUUGGCACUGUGAUUGAAUAUAAAAAAAUUAUUCCCACAAAAAAAUCAGUCAAAAAAGUCAAAAAAAUCAAAAAAUACGAAAUUCAAUAAAAAUUUAAAAAAAGAUUCAGCGGGAUAAAUUUGGUGCCCAAAAUUUCCAGAUCAAAAAUUAAAUAUAUAAGGACACUCCAGAUUUAAUUUCGUUAUUUUUGGAGAUGGAGAACACCUCGAACGAAGUUAUCAAGUUACUCCGCAGUUUUUCGGGUUUUCUGUUUUCAGCAAUUUUUAUUGAUUCUUAGCUGUAGGUUUUCAUUUGUUUACCUUUCUUCUUCCUUUACGUUAUCUAACACCUUCUUGUUUCUUGUGUUAGUAGGAUUUAAACGUGUGCACAACUUCUUCCUCGGUGCAACACGAAUCAAUUGGUGUCUAGUCAGUUUUUGGCAUCCUAGUGCAAAUUAGGAUUCUUUGGUAGUUUGGUUCACACUCUCUAAUUGGUUGAUAUAAACUCUGAUAAAGAACUCACAAGAUUGAAUUCGACCUCAUUGAGAAUUUGAUUUUUUCUUUUUGAGUGAUUAACGGUGAGGUUUGAUAACUUUUAUUUUUGAGUGUUGAGUGUUUAUUUUUUACAGGUUUUUGAAAAUGUCUAAAGGUGAUAAUAAUGAGGACAUAUUUAAAAGAUUCCAACAACAGUUGGACGAACAGGCUGCUGCACUUCGAGCGUUGACUGCUACUAUCAAUGAGGUGCGGUUGAAUCAAGAGCCUCAAUAUCGAUAUCAAAUUAAAGACGAUGUGGAUAACCAGCCUCCUGCUCAUAGACGCGCUCCUCAGCGUGUCCCUAGAACUGAUUAUGAUCUUCAUGAUCGUGGACAACCCUCUUUUGCAAAACCAAAGAGCGAGCAGCAACGAGAACAUCUCUUUCAUACUCGCUGCCAUGUACAAGGUAAGCUUUGUAGAGUUAUUAUUGAUGGUGAAAGUUGCUCGAACGUAGCCAGCACGAUGAUGGUGGAAAAGCUUUGCUUAACCACUACCAAGCAUCCACGACCUUAUCAACUACAAGGGCUUAGCAACGAAAGCCAAUUUAAGGUCACUCAACAAGUGCGCAUCGCCUUUUCUAUCAGUAAGUAUCAAGAUGAAGUCGUGUGCGACGUAGUACCUAUUCAAGACUGCCAUUUGUUGCUAGGAGAACCAUGGCAACUAGAUCGAAAGGUCACUCACGAUGGUCGUACCAAUAGGUAUUCUUGAUGUGAUCCGGCUCGGUUGAUUGAGUCGAUUCACUUGAUUUCUUUUCAAGCUCUCUUUCAAUUUCUUUUUUCGCUUUUUCUUUUUCAAUUUUUUUUUCAUUCUCAAUUUCUUUUUCAAUUUUCUUUUCUUCAUUUUCUUUUUCUCUCACUUUUUCGAUUUCUUUUUCAAUCUCUUUCUCCUUUUCUCGGUCAAUGGAUUGCUUCAUUUUGAAUUGGUCUUCUUGCACUUGUUCCGGUGUGAGCGGCGCUAAAGUGACUUUCCUUCCUUGAUGCUUGAAGGAAUACCUAUUGGUACGUUCAUCGUGAAUGACCUUGCGAUCCGAUUGCCAUGGUUCUCCUAGCAACAAAUGGCAGACUUGAAUAGGCACAACAUCACAAAGGACUUCGUCUUGGUAUCUUCCGAUGGAAAAUGCAACACGCACUUGUUGAGUAACUUCAAAUUUGCCUUCAACACCAAGUCCUUGCAGUUGAUAGGGUCGUGGAUGCUUGGUAGUGGCCAAGCCAAGUUUUUUUACCGUUCGAAUACUAGCCAUGUUUGACCUACUUCCACCAUCAAUAAUGAGGCAACAAACUUUAUCGUGGACACGGCAAUGCGUGUGAAACAUAUCUUCACAUUGUGGUUCAUUUUCCAAUCUUUGAAGGAUUGCACUAAUCUUGAUGUCAACGAUAGUAGAUGUCAAAUCUUCUUUAUCUUUGUCGAAUUGUCGAAAUUCAGAUCGCAUUAUCCUUUGCAUUUCUUGUCUCCACAUUUGGAAUUCAAAUUCAGAAAAUUCUUCAGACAUGCUUCAACAAAAUAUUAGAAAACAAAAGUUAAAUUAGAAAGAAAAAUAAUUCUCACCACAAAUCUCUCAAAUUCGCUCAAAAAGAAAAAUUCACUCACUCGUGUUUGAACUCUCUUUUAGGCUUUUUUUUUCGAAUGAACUCACGCUCUCUUGCCUUUUACCACUCGACCUCGUCUCACAAAUUCGUAAUUCGUCUCGAUAGACUUAAUUUGCUGCUUGAGGGUCGGUUUCAAAAUGGGUUACAAGGGAUAAUGUCGGUGUAGGGUAGGCUAAACAAAAUAAAAUCAAGGCUAAGUGUGGCGUUGGGAUGGGUAAAUAAUGGUAGGAAGGGAAACUUGAUGAUCGGAGUAAAUAAGAGAAGAAAAUAAAAAUUCGCAAGACUUUUCACUGUUUUUUUUAACUUGAUUUUUUUGUCACUUCUUUUUUUUCUUUUUUUUCGAUUUUUUUUUUGAAUUUUUUUUUGAAUUUCUUCUCUUUUUUUUAAAUCCAAUACAAUAGUAAACAAAAUACAAGGAAGAGAAAAAAAAAUUAAAUUCCAACUCAAAUUUUUUUGUUUUUUUUUACUUUUUUUUAACAUUACGAACCUACUCCGAGCUUGAUACGAAUGUCAGCACUCCUCGUUUUAGUAGCUCUGAUACCAAAUGAUGUGAUCUGGCCCAGAUUAAUUGAGUCGUUUCACGUAAUUGCCCGAUCGUCGACGAGGAAUAGUUGAGUUAUCGAAAAUAGGAUGAAAUAAGGCUAAAGAUGCGGAAGCUUUGAAAUGGUUUUAAAGGUUGGCUAAGGUGAUGGUAAAUUUAUAAGGGUAGUAGGCUCGAUUUAAGGAUAAAAAUAAGAAAAAUGGAAGUUGAUAAAUGAAGGCUCGGUUUUGUAAAAAGAUAUUAUAGUUGGGUAAAAUCUAGGAUAGUCGGUGGAAUGGAUAAAUGAGCUUAAACGCCAGAAACGAUUCAACACUAAAAAGUGUCACCCCGAUUUCUAUUUGGUUCAAGGUGGGAUUGCGGAAUUGUAGAAGGGUUGAACGCCACACCAAAGCAAGGUGAUAAGUUCAAAAGAGAACGAUAGACGCCAUUAGCAUGCUAGAUAAGUCAGAUCGAGACUCGUACGAAAUAGGAUAGGAGGAAACCUCACAAUCAAGUUUUCAAUAAUCAAAUUCUGUAACCUUUUACAAUAAACAAAAUAAACUAUUUAUAGGCUCUCUAAUCGGGUUGACGCCACUAGCGAGCUAGAUAAGUCAGAAUGAGACUCGUACGAAAUAGGAUAGGAGGAAACCUCACAAUCAAGUUUUCAAUAAUCAAAUUCUGUAACCUUUUACAAUAAACAAAAUAAACUAUUUAUAGGCUCUCUAAUGCCUAUUAAAAUUCAGCUACUAAUGUGUUCACACAACAAUUAAAAAUGUUCACACUUCAAGCAUUAAAUCUCUGUUCAUGGAUAGUGUAAGUUCAUGCAUGGUUGAAUAAUCAUGUUUCUUCCCAAAACCCGUUCAUGCAUGCUUAACCAAUAAGAAAGCUUCCUUGUUCCAUGAAUGUGCAUCUUCAAUUCAUAUCCAACCCCUCUUGGACGAAUGCUAGGUGCAUGGGUCAUGCAUCUCUCUUAAUUAAAACUUUAAUGAUGGGCUGGUUCAUGAAUGGAAGCAUGUACCUUGUAAAUUCGUUCUCCCCUUUGUACAUGCACAUUAUACAUUCAAUGUGAUGAAUUAAGGUAAUAUUCCCUCCCUUUGGACGUUCAUGAAUCCACCCAUACAUAUAUAGGAGCUGAUUGGUCAAAUUGAGGUGUGAAUGGCUUAGAUGCUGCCUUGGGAAUACGAUCGGCCAAGCUUGUGCUUUAAUUUGCUGGACACCUUUUGGCCAAAUAGGUGCCUUGGGGAGCCAAAUGGAUCAGCCACCAUUCAUUGAAAGAGGCCUUUACAUGCACCGUCCCAUACAUUGAACCUAUCAUGCAUGAACCUUGUUUAAUUACUCUCCAAAUUCAACUCACCUACAAAAACACAUGAACCAAAAUUAAAUCACAUAAAAUUCAGCUGAACAAACAUUAAUAUAAUUUAGACACACUAAUUAAACAUAAAUUAAAUUAGACAAAUUUAAUAAAGUCUUAACAAGACAUAUUAAAUUCGGCCAAGACACAUUUAAAACAUGUAAUAAGUCAAAACAUAAUUAUGAGCUGUAGUAAUUUAAGCUAAAUUAAUAAAUUACUUAAUUUAUUCAGACAUUAAAAUAAAUGAGUUGAAAUAAACUUAAGCCAAGCUCAAACGAGCUAAAGUAAGCUAAAUUGAGCUCAAACGAGCUAAAUUAAGCUCAUGUGAGCUAAAUCGAGCUGGGAAAAACUAAGAUUGAGCUUGUUAAGCUGAGAUUGAGCUUCAUCUUGCACUUGGGGCCCUCGUGUUUAGGCCAAUCAUGAUAGCAACGAGUGGUGCCAAAACAUGAUGCGAUUGAGAUCACAUCAAUUCUUUCAAGUAUCAAGGAAGGAAAAUCACCUUAGUGCCGCUCACUCCGGAACAAGUCCAUGAGGACCAAAUCAAACUGAAAAAUUCUGUUGUUAAAACAAGUGAGGAAAAAGAAAAAGAGAAUGAAAAAGAGUAAAAAGAGAUUGAGAGUGAAAAGGAAUGUGAAACAGAAAAUAAAAUUGAAAAAGAAGUUGAAGAAAGAAGAGAAAAUGAGUUAGAAAAAGAAAUAAAAGAAAAAGACGAGGAAAGGCUAGUGAGGAAUGUUUUCACUAACCAAGAUAUGAAUUUUUCUUGUGUUGCUACUUUUCAGGUUCCCGAAGGACCGAAAGAUAACUUUCAACUUCAAUACCUCUCAAAUGAAAGACGCUUCCAUACGAUCAACUUAGGCAAACAUGAAAUCACACUACAUGAUCCCGAAGGUAAGCGAGGUAAGGAAAUUUUAGAAACCGAGUCCAGUGCAGAUUUGAAAAUUAUUGAUAAAACUUUUGGUGACUUAGUUCUUAAAAGAUCCCCUCAUUUUGAUCCGAUUAAUUGUUACUCUUCGAUUGUGGUUGAUAAAGUCAUUACGAAAAGAAGCGUGAUUUGUUAUUCUCUUGAUUUUCCUUGUGUAAAAUCCUCGAAUUUGUCCAAAUCUGUUUUGGAGAAUAAGGUAACGAAAUUUUCCAAAUUUGUUUUCAAUUUAUAUUCGUGCCUUAAACAGUUUAUGUGGUUGUACAUGAAGUUUGAGUUCCAUUUGACAAAGGUUAACUCAACAACGGAGAUUCGACUACACUAUGCCCUCGAUGAGCGAAGGUUUGUUUUAAAUGAAAAAGGUAAAAUCGACCCUUAUUCUUUUGCUUAUCAAGGUAAGAUGCUUGAAACCUUUGAAACACUUUUGUACUCCUCGGAUAGCGACAAAGAUUGUGUUGAUGAACACUUAGAUCGAAACGUGCUUGACUGUCCUAUUUUAUUUAUUGAUGAUAAAUCUAUUUUGAUGGUUGAUAAAAAGAUUCUUGUUUUUGAUAAUGCAUGUGUGAGUGAAUCUAUAAACCGUUGAUUAAUGCAUGGUAAUCUGAAUCUGCCUAUUCACAUGCGUUAUACCUGUUCUAUUAUGCUUAUAAUUGGACUACAAGCUUGUUUGCAUUGCUAUUUACUAUUUCAUGGCUAUUCAUUUUAGUGGACUCAAUUGCCAUUAGUCCCAUUCGAUCGAGGAAAGUCGAGUUCAUUUGAUUUUUUAGAUUCGAGGAUGAAUCUUUUUGAGGAAGGGGGGAAAGAUACGAGUCAUAAAGGCCCAAUCCAAGUUCAAGAACGUGAUGGGCUCAAAUUGCCACAAGGCCCAAUAACGAGAUCAAAGGCCCGACAAAUGCGGUCCAAACUAAAUGGGACCAUUCAAGAGCUUGUUAGCAAGGCCUUAGAUGCAUACACGAGAGAACAAGAAAAUCAAGAUUCACUUUCUUGUUUUCAAGAAAAUCAAGAAAUCGAAUCUUGGCCCAAUUUUGCUGUUCGAAGAGAUUUCAAGAAUCAAAAAAAUCAAAAUUUCAAAUCUUGGAAAUCUUGGUCCAAGAAACCAAAUCUUGCAGCCAAAACGCAUUGGAUCUCCAUUACGAGCGUCAACGACCCAAUUUUGGUAGGAGAUGGAUCACGAGCCCAAAUUCUUGAAGGCGAGGCCCAAUAACCAAAAUCCAGCCCAAUCAAGAAAUUUCUUCAUACUUAGUUGAAAAUCAGGCCAAAAUGUCAAAGGGCCCAAUUUGUAAACAUCUUACUUGUUUAAUUUAAUUUUUUAAUCUUUAGGAGCAUUACAUGUAAAAUUCGGCCCAAAACAGCCCAUAUAAGUGCAUGGCCGAAUUUACCUUGUUAUUUUAUUAAUUAGGUUUAAUUUUUUAUUAGUUACUUGUGAGAUUAGGAUUUGUUGGAGGCCUAUAUAAGCAUUGGCCAGCCACCCUUUGUAAAAACAUCUUAUUAUCAAUCAAUACAUUAAAUUUCAGUUUGUUAGAGUGCAGAAUUUUCUUUGGGGUUUUCUCCAAGAAUUCUCUCUUGAGCUUUCUUUAGAAGUUGUUUUAACAAUCUUUUGAUUGUGGGAGCCAUCUUCAACCUUCUUCUUGCCAUCGAUAUUCUUUGGAGGGGAGAUUAGAGCCGUUUGAAGAGAUUUGUGAAAUCUUUCGGGAUUUCAAGGAUCUUUAGGACUUAUCCUUUAAUUUUUGCUGUUCAAAUUCUUUUAUUUAAUUCUACUUGUGCCGAAUCUUAAUUCUAAUCUAUUUGCUGUUUUAUUUGUGUUUCCAGCCCUUGUUUAUCUUAAAGAAUUGAUCAAUUUCACUUUUUGCUGGAGUUCGACAAUCAGCCUAAAUCCCCAAAUUCUAGGGUUCUUGCCGAAUGCACACUUAUUCUUCUUGGGUGAAUUUGGUUGUGGAAACUUAGGGGAAACUUUCGUGGUGGUCAAUUGAGCAGAUUGCCCUCGCUUUCUCAGCCUCAAGAGCCGUUUUAUGCCUUCAAUUUCUUUCUUUCUCAUUGACGCAUAAACCCUAAUUUGUUUCAAGAAAUUCUGGUCGAUCUAAUUUACUUGCUGAUUUAGUGUUCUUUGACAGAUUCGGCUUGUGGGAGUUCAUUCUUGGGAAUCAAUUUCGUGUUCUUGGUUUCAAGAAACCUCUUUCAUAAGUGUUUCGUUCCUUGAUUAGAUCUUGCUGAUUUUUAGGGUUCUUAUUCCAGAUUUUAAUUUUCCAGAUUUAAUCUCGUUCUUUGUUUGAUUUCAGAUCUGUUCGUUUAGAGCUUUCGUAGGAGUUUCCCGUGACUUGGCAACUCGAUCUUGGUCCGCUUGCAACUCCAUAUCAUCUAUCUACAACAACAAAGAUAGAGUCCUUCCCCGUUUUGGUCCUUGGUAGUCCUAGGACCAAAUCCAUUGAAAGAUCGACCCAUGGUGCGUUAGAUAUGGGCAAUGGUUUGUAGAGUCCAUGCGGAUUGAUUUUGGACUUGGCCUUCUUGCAAGUUAUACAUUGGCUACAGACCCGCUCAACAUCUUUUCUCAUCCCAGGCCAAAAGAAAUGCUCAUGGAGGGUUGACAACGUCUUAGCCACCCCAAAAUGGCCCAUGAUUCCACCACCAUGUGCCUCAAUCACCAACAAUUUCCGUAUUGAGCUUUGCAGAAUACAUAGCUUGCCUUCGCGGAAAAGAAAUCCAUCAAACCUGAAAAACUUAUCAACAGCUUUGUUUUCACAAGAUUUAUAAAUAUCACCAAAAUCAAUAUCACCAUCAUACAAUUCCUUCAAAAAGGAAAAUCCAAGCAAUUUUGAAUCCAAAUAUGAUAGCAAAGUAUAUCAUCGAGAUAACGCGUCAGCCACAAUAUUUUCCUUACCUUUCUUAUAUUUACUGAUAUAACGAAACGAUUCUAAAAACUCUACCCAUUUGGCGUGCCGUUUGUUCAACUUUGCUUGUCCCUUAAUAUGUUUCAACACCUCAUGAUCCGAGUGUAUGGCAAACUCUUUUGGCCAUAAGUAGUGCUGCCAUGUCUCGAGAGCUCAAAUUAGAGCAUACAUUUCCUUGUCGUACGUCGGAUAGUUGAGAACGGCUCCAUUUAACUUCUCACUAAAGUAUGCCACGGGCCUUCCAUCUUGUGUUAAAACGGCUCCAAUUCCGACACCUGAUGCAUCACAUUCAACUUCAAACAUUUUAGCAAAAUCAGGUAACACAAGUAAUUGAGCAUUAGUUAAACAUGAUUUAAUGGCAAUAAAAGAUUUUUCUUAUUCCUCAUUCCAAUAGAAAGCAGACAACUUUUUGAUCACACUAGUUAAAGGUGCUGCCAAGGUACUAAAAUUUGGAACAAAUCGUCGAUAGAAGCUUGCCAAUCCGUGGAAGCUCCUCACUUGGCUAAUGCUCGUGGGUCUAGGCCACUCUCGAAUGGCUUUCACCUUUUCUUGAUAAACUCCAGUCCUUCCGAGCUGACCACGAAUCCUAAAAAAUAACCUUGUUAGUACAAAAAGUACAUUUCUUAAGAUUAGCAAACAAAGAUUCUUUUCUAAGCACAUCCAAAACAGAUUUUAAAUGCAACAAAUGGUCAUCUAAGGAUUUGCUAUAGAUAAGUAUAUCAUCAAAAUAGACAACACAAAAUUUUCCGAUGAAAGAACGAAGAACAUGGUUCAUCAAGCGCAUGAAAGUCCUGGGCACAUUGGUAAGCCCGAAUGGCAUAACCAGCCACUCGUAGAGCCCAUGCUUCGUCUUAAAAGCGGUUUUCCACUCGUCCCCUUCACGCAUCCAAAUUUGGUGGUAUCCGCUCUUUAGAUCAAUUUUAGAAAACAAUCGAGCACCACUCAAUUCAUCCAACAUAUCAUCGAGUCGCGGUAUUGGAUGUCGAUACUUAAUAGUGAUCUUAUUCACCGCGCGACAAUCUACGCACAUACGCCAUGUUCCAUCCUUCUUUGGCACCAAUAAAACCGGUACGGCGCAUGGACUAAGACUUUCUCGUAUAUAUCCCUUCUCCAUAAGUUCAUUGACUUGUUUUUGCAAUUCUUUGGUCUCUUCGGGAUUUGUACGAUAAGCUGGACGAUUGGGAAUAGAGGCUUUGCGAAUGAAAUCAAUUUGAUGUUAUAUUCCUCGAAUGGGCGGUAACCCAUUAGGAAUGUCUUCCAGAAACACGUCCUCGAAUUCCUGCAAAAGAGAAACAAUCGAAGAGGGCAAAUUUGGAUCCAACUAGUUAGUAGUCAAAAGAGUUUCCUUGUACAUAAGUACAAGAACCGAUUGCUGCGUCAAAUAAGAUUUCCUAAAAUCACUCUCUCUUGCAUAAACACUCAUCUUCUUUUGCUCUUCUUCCUCUCUCUUUUUUUUGUCGAUCGAUUUAUUUUUUUCUCUCACAUUUUUCAUUUGUUUUUCUUUUUUCUUCUCAAUAUGUUUUUCACUCUCUUUUUCAUUCUUUUCUUUAUGUACAUUUUCUUGAAAUUUCUCUACACUCUCUCUUAGUUUCAAUUGAUCUUCAUAAACUUGCCUCGGCGUCAUGGGAACCAAAGUUACAUUUUUCCCAUCGUAUUUGAAGGUGUAGCGGUUUGUGAAACCAUCAUGAAUGACUUUGCGAUCAAAUUGCCAUGGACGACCCAAUAACAUAUGACCAGCGUGCAUGGGUACUACGUCGCAUAGAACUUCGUCGAAAUAUUUUUCGAUAGUGAACGACACCAAAACUUGCUUAGUUACCUUCAACUCCCCUCCAUCAUUAAGCCAUUGAAGUUUGUAGGGUUGAGGGUGCUUAGUUGUUGGCAAGCUGGGUUUUUCAACCAUUAAAGUGCUAGCCACAUUUGAACAACUCCCGCCAUCCACAAUCAAGCUACACACCUUGCCUUGGACAUGGCAACGUGUAUGAAAAAUGUUCUCCCUUUGUUGUUCAUUUUCAACACUUUGAAGACUAAGGCUUCGUUUAAUAACGAGAAUUUCACCUUCAACGGCGUAUUCAAGUUCAUCCUCUUCCUCCUUUUCGGCCAUUUCAUUGGGUUCUUCGUCAUCUUCUUCUUCCGAUUCAAUUUCUCCAUUAGCCCGCACAAUCAUGUUGGUUCAGUUAGGGCAUUGACUCGCAAUGUGGCCCCUCCCUAAGCACUUAAAACACUUUAUUUCUCGUGAUCGAUUCGGUAUAGCAACUUCUUUGCCUUUGCUUGUUUCACCAACAGGUUUACUCACCUUAGAAGACAAAGGGUGAUCUUUAGUGCGAUUAGAGAAGUCUUUCUUACCCGUGCCUUGGUUCAACCUUUGAGGAUUGUUGGUGCUAGGAAAGGUUCGGCUAGAACUUUUUCUUUUCAAUUGCUUUUCAACUUUGAUAGCAACAUGCACCAUAUCAACAAUGUCAACGUAGUGUUGAAGCUCCACCACAUUGGCUAUGUCACGAUUAAGUCCGACCAAAAAUCGAGCCAUGGUUGCUUUGCGAUCUUCAUCCACGUUCACUCGUAUCAUGGCAAUCUCCAUUUCUUUAAAGUAGUCCUCCACGCUUCGAUUUCCUUGCGUAAGAUUUUGCAACUUUUGGUAAAGUUCACGAUAAUAAUAAGAAGGUAUAAAUCUCCUACGCAUUACGGCUUUCAUUUCAGUCCAAGUUGAGAUUGGCCGCUCCCCGUUCCUUCUUCGACUUGUAGUAAGUUGAUCCCACCAUAUCAUUGCGUAAUCGGAGAACUCAAUUUCUGCCAAUUUCAACUUUUUGCUCUCCGAGUAGUUGUGACACUCGAAGACCAUCUCGAUUUUUCUCUCCCAUUCUAGAUAAGCUUUCGGAUCAGAUUUCCCAUGAAAGGGAGGAAUGGAUAGCUUAAUACUUUUUAAAUCAUCAUCAACUUGGCCUCGAUCUCUAGGACCCCUAUUUCUUUGACCUCGUCGUCUCUCGUUUUGAUUCAACUCUUGGUUGCUUUCCACCUCGCUUGGCUCGUAGGGAUCAUCCACGAAAGGUCUUGCUCGCCCUCGCCCCCAUCUCGGUCCUUAAGGGGUUCCUUCUCGUGUUGGUCCUCCUUCCACUCGAUCGAGUCUCUCAUUAAUAUAUUCAAGUUUAGUUCGAAGCAUUCGUUGGAAUUCCCUUAAGAGGUCUUGUUGACCUAAAUCGGGAACUCCUCCUCCGACAUUUCUUAUCGGUUGUCUUUCGGUCCUUUCCGUAACAUUUUGCUCGGGAUUUUGAGACAUAAUAAAGAUUCCUCACCACAAAGACUCACGUUCACUCAGAAAAGAAAGAAAGAACGACACUUACGCUCGUGUUUACACUCUUUGGCUUUUACCUCCUCUCGAAUAUGCUCACACACUCGUGCCUUUUUCCUCUCGUUUCUUCUCUUAUAAUUUCGUAUAAGACUUGGUAGGGCUUGAUCUUUAGUUUAGAAGGUCGGCUUCAAAAGGUUUGCAAAGGAAAUUCAUAUGGUUUAGGGUAGGCUCGAAAGAAAGAAAGGUUUAAAGGUGUGGCGUAUAAAAUGGUUUCACUAAUUGGAAAAGAAGAAUAAAAUUUUUUUUAAUAGCGUGAAAUUUCACCAAGAGGGAUAUUAAGGAGUGUAGAAUGUGAUUUUGGAAAUUUUUUUGUUGAAGUGUCUCCAGACUCUUUUUUUUACGGAUCUUUCACGUUCUUUUCGUCCGCACCUAGACCGUAUAAAUUUUUUUCUUUUUUUCAAUUUUUUUUGAUUUUUUUUUUUCGAUUUUUUUUCAAAUUUUUUUCACGAGUCUACUUUCUUCGGCUUUUCUCAAACGUCCAAACUCCUCGUUUUAACCAGCUCUGAUACCAAAUGAUGCGAACCAGCCUCGGUUUAAUGAGUUGAAUCACUUUUUUUGCCCGAUCGUCCAAACGAUGAAGUUUCAUUCUUCUUGAGUCAAUUCGUUCUACUUGAUCAAUGAAGUCAUUUGAGGUUCAAUUGAGAUUAAAGAAAGUGAUUUGUAAGGUAUUUCGGCUAAGAAAGAAAUAACGAAUUUGGAUAGGUGAUGAUUCAGUUUUAAAGGUAUAUGGAAUGAUUGGCUUAAAAACAAGAAAGAACCAACACUAAAUGUAGUUGAGUGUUGACCCGUUUCCUAUAUGCUUUUAAGAUGGUUCGGUAGUGAAAUAGAUAGAAUUAACCUCGACCCGCUACCUAUUGAAGAUAGGAACCUCGGUAUAGUUGAACGCCACACUUUGGUUGAAAGUGAUAAGUUCGGGUUGCAAAGAACAAAGGUUGACGCCACUAACUAGUAGAUAAGCCAACUAAGUCUUUGGACGAAAUUGAGAGAAGAAUUCCUCACAAAAUACUUAAUUCAAUAAUCAAAAUGGCAAAAGUCCUUUUACAAAUAAACAAGCAAAUAUUUAUAGUUCUUCAAAGGCUAGCCGAAUAGACAAACUUAAAAGCUAAGAAAAAUCAAGAAAAUUCCAGAAUUAAUUCCUCAAGAAGAUUCGGCUGAAUGGGCAUUCAAAUGGACAGCUUAAGCAUGAAGCAAAUGCACCUUGCAAAGAUGAAUGCAUCGGUAGAUCAAUGCUCUUGUCCAGGUUCGGCCUUGCUCUUAAAUUACUCCUUAAAUUGGCACUUGUUGGCUGAAAAGAUAGGAACAUUAAAGAUAGUUGUUGAACAGCCACACAAGUGUGAAAAGUCGGUUCUGAAGAGUCAAAUAUGUGUGAACAUUAUCAGCUGAAUAGUCCCCCAUGUGAACACUUAAAAUAGGCUGAAUGUAGAUGUUUAAGGAUGGCAAAUUCGGCUGAAUAUUCAUUUGGUAGUGCCAUGCAUGUUUCGGCCAAAUACAAUGAACCUUAGGUGCAUGCACCCAUGCCGUCCAAGGGAGAUUCCUGCACCAAAUUAAAUCAACAAGUUAGUUGAUAUGGGGUUGCGCGCGGACCAAGAUCGAGUUGCCAAGUCACGGGAAACUCCUACGAAAGCUCUAAACAAACAGAUCUGAAAAUUAAAACAAAGAACAAGAUUAAACUAAUCAGAUCUAAAAUUAAAUCCCCAAAUUCAAUUAAAUGAGCAGCAAGGAACAAAGAACGAAUGAAUAAAUGUAUUCGGAGUUCAAGAAGAUGAAGUCGAACUCCAAUAGUGAAAUCCCACAAGCCGAAUCUGCCCAAGAACAAACUGACAAUAAAAACCCCAAAUUCCAGCAACUUGAUUUCCCCAAAAUCAGAAUGUAUUAAUCGACAAGAACCCUAGGAUUUAGGGAUUUUGGUUCGAAACUUUACUGCCCAAAAGUAGACCGAUUAAAUGGAAGGAUCUUGGAGUUAAACAAAGCUGAAACACAAGCAAGAACAGCAAAAAAAGAUUAGAUAAUGAAUCGGCACAAGUAGGAAUAAAGAAACAAAUCGAAAUAGCAAGAAAUAAAGAAAAGUCCUAAGAACCCUUGAAUUCCCGAAAGAAUUCACAAAUUCCUUCAAACGGCUCUAAUCUCCCCUCCAAAGAAUAUCGAUGGCAAGAAGAAGGUUGAAGAUGGCUCCCACAAUCAAAAGAUUGUUAAAACAACUUCUAAAGAAAACUCAAGAGAGAAUUCUUGGAGAAAACCCCAAAGAAAAUUCUACACUCAACAAAUCUGAAAUUUGAUAGAAAAAAUAAUAAUAAGAUGUUUUUACAAAGGGUGGCUGGCCAAUGCUUAUAUAGGCCUCCAACAAAUCCUAAUCUCACAACUAACUAAUAAAAAAUUAAACCUAAUUAAUAAAAUAACAAGGUAAAUUCGGCCAUGCACUUAUAUGGGCUGUUUUGGGCCGAAUUUUACAUGUAAUGCUCCUAAAGAUUAAAAAAUUAAAUUAAACAAGUAAGAUGUUUACAAAUUGGGCCCUUUGACAUUUUGGCCUGAUUUUCAACUAAGUAUGAAGAAAUUUCUUGAUUGGGCUGGAUUUUGGUUAUUGGGCCUCGCCUUCAAGAAUUUGGGCUCGUGAUCCAUCUCCUACCAAAAUUGGGUCGUUGACGCUCGUAAUGGAGAUCCAAUGCGUUUUGGCUGCAAGAUUUGGUUUCUUGGACCAAGAUUUCCAAGAUUUGAAAUCUUGAUUUUCUUGAUUCUUGAAAUCUCUUCGAACAGCAAAAUUGGGCCAAGAUUCGAUUUCUUGAUUUUCUUGAAAACAAGAAAGUGAAUCUUGAUUUUCUUGUUCUCUCGUGUAUGCAUCUAAGGCCUUGCUAACAAGCUCUUGAAUGGUCCCAUUUAGUUUGGACCGCAUUUGUCGGGCCUUUGAUCUCGUUAUUGGGCCUUGUGGCAAUCCGUAUGACUCGUAUCAUUCCCCCUUCCUCAAAAAGAUUCGUCCUCGAAUCUAAAAAAUCAAAUGGGGACAAGUCAGCCACAUUAAAAGUAGAACUUACAUUGUACUCACCAGGUAGAUCAAUUUUAUAGGCAUUAUCGUUGAUCCGCUCGAGUACUUGGAAAGGCCCAUCGCCCCUUGGGUCCAACUUAGUCUUCCUUUUUGUAGGAAAUCGUUCUUUCCUCAAAUGGACCCAAACCCAAUCUCCGGGUUCUAGUACAACCCGUUUGCGCCCUUUGUUUGCUUUGUUGGUGUUGGCGUCAUUUGUUUUGGCUAUUUGCUGUCUAGCCUUCUCAUGUAAGGAUUUCACCAACUCAGCUUUCUGUUCGCCAUCUAAAUUCAUAACGUGUUCAAGAGGUAAUGGCGCAAGAUCAAGUACUGUUAGUGGGUUAAAACCAUAAACAAGUUCAAAUGGGGAAUAACCAGUUGUAGAAUGAAGAGAUCUAUUAUAUGCAAAUUCAACAAAUGGUAGGCAUUCUUCCCAAUUUCUAAUGUUCUUUCCCACAACAGCUCGUAAUAAAGUCCCUAAGAUUCGAUUAACUACUUCAGUUUGACCAUCAGUUUGGGGGUGACAUGUAGUAGAAUAAAGCAAUUUAGUACCAAGCUUACCCCACAAUACCUUCCAAAAGUGGCUAAGGAAUUUGACAUCUCUAUUAGAAACAAUUGUUUUAGGGAUGUCAUGAAGUCUUACCACUUCUUUAAAGAAUAAGUCUGCCACAUGUGUAGCAUCAUCUGUUUUGUGACAAGGAAUAAAAUGUGACAUCUUUGAAAACCUGUCAACAACAACAAAUAUACUAUCUCUUCCUUUUUUUGUUCGAGGCAAACCUAAAAUAAAAUCCAUGGAUAAAUCUACCCAAGGUGAAGUAGGAAUCGGUAGAGGAGUGUAAAGGCCAUGAGGCAUUACCUUAGAUUUUGCUUGUUUGCAUGUAAUGCACUUGGAACAUACCUUUUCCACAUCCUUCUUCAUAUGUGGCCAAUGGAAGUGUUCUUGCAAUAUGUCUAGUGUUUUGGCCACUCCAAAAUGUCCCAUUAAUUCCCCACUAUGGGCUUCAUGAAUCAACAAUUCUCUCAUGGAACACUUUGGUAUGCAUAACCUGUUUAAACGAAAAAGAAAGCCAUCUACAAGAUAAAAUUUUUCAAAAGCAGUAUGUCCACAAUUCUUAUAGAUAUGGCUGAAAUCAGUAUCAUCAUCAUAUAACUCUUUAAUAUGUUCAAACCCUAAGACUUUAGCAUUCAAUGUAGUUAUUAAAGUAUAUCGUCUAGACAAAGCAUCUGCGACUACAUUAUCUUUACCUGUUUUAUAUUGAAUCACAUAAGGGAAUGUUUCAAUGAAUUCUACCCAUCGGGCAUGUCUUUUACUCAACUUACCUUGUCCCUUUAACCAUUUAAGAGACUCAUGAUCUGUAUGUAUGACAAACUCAUUAGGCCGCAAAUAAUGUUGCCAUACUUGAAGUGCACGAACUAAUGCCAAUAGUUCUUUGUCAUAAGUCGAGUAAUUUAACUGUGCACCGUUCAAUUUCUCACUAAAAUAAGCAAUAGGUUGCUUAUCUUGCAUCAAAAAAGGCGCCGAUUCCAAUUCCUGAAGCAUCACACUCAAGUUCAAAAGUUUUAGCAAAAUCAGGUAAUUUAAGCAAAGGAGCAGAACAUAACUUAGCUUUUAGAGUUUGAAAAGCUUUUUCUUGGGUUUCACCCCAUUUGAAACCCACUGAUUUCUUUAUAACUUCAGUCAAUAGGGCAGCAAGAGUAGAGAAAUCUUUCACAAAUCGUCUAUAAAAACUGGCUAAACCAUGGAAAGAUCUCACCUCAGUUAUCGAUUUAGGAGUCGGCCACUCCUUAAUUGCCUUAACUUUGUCCUCGUCGACAUGAAUACCUUGAGCACUAACUUGAAACCUAAGAAUAUUAGUUUAUCAUAACAGAAUGUGCAUUUAUCAAGGUUGGCAAAUAAUCUUUCAGUUCGUAGAAUAUCCAAAACGGUUCGAACAUGGAAAACAUGAUCAUCUAAUGACUUUGAGUAAAUUAAAAUAUCAUCAAACUAAACUACUACAAAUUUACCCAAAUGUAGCCUCAAAACAUGAUUAAUUAAUCUCAUAAAUGUACUAGGUGCAUUAGUAAGGCCGCAAGGCAUAACUAACCAUUCAUACAAUCCAAAUUUUGUUUUAAAGGCUGUUUUCGAUUCAUCCCCUUCCCUCAUUCGAAUUUGAUGAUAACCGCUUUUUAAAUCAAUUUUUGUAAAUAUUAUUGAACCAUGUAAUUCAUCAAGCAUAUCAUCAAGUCUAGGGAUUGGGUGUCGAUACUUUACCGUUAUCUUGUUGAUUGGGCGACAAUCAACACACAUACGAAACGUACCAUCUUUCUUUGGCACCAAUAAGACAGGAACAGCACAAGGACUUAGGCUCUCACGAAUGUACCCUUUAUCUAGUAAUUCCUCAACUUGCCUUUGCAAUUCCUUUGUCUCCUCGGGAUUGCAUCUAUAGGCUGGUCGAUUUGGGAUUGAAGCUCCGGGUACUAAGUCAAUUUGAUGUUCUAUCCCUCGUAAAGGUGGUAAACCUUUAGGGGCCUCACUAAAAACAUCCUCAUAAUCCUGCAAAAGAGAUUGAAACACACUAGGCAAAUUUUUGUUAAUGUUAGAUAAAGAUAAAUAAUUUUGCCUAAACCUCAUAAGGAUACAAGGCUGUUUAUUAAGUAGGGCUCUCUUCACAUCUUUUUUUGUUGCCAAAAGAUUUUUUCCGCUCAUUUUACCACUAGAGGAUUCACUCACCUUUGGGCUUUUUAAAUUUUGACUUUUUCCACUACUAUUAGCCUAUUUUCUCUCUGUCUUUUGUACUUGCUCUUUCUCCCUUACCCCCUCACAAAAUUUUAUCAUCCUCAAUUGAUCUUUAUAUACAUCAGUAGGAUUUAAAGGAGUGAAAGUGAAUUUCUUGCCUUUAAAUACAAGGGAGUAUCGAUUAAGUUUACCUUGGUGUGUAACAUCGCGAUCAAAUUGCCAAGGUCGUCCAAGGAGCAAGUGUGCCGCAUGCAUGGGGACUACAUCACACCAUACGUCAUCCUCAUAAUUGCCGAGUUUAAAAGUGACCAAGGACUGUUUCGUAACUUUAACUUCGGAACAUUCAUUAAGCCACUGAAGGUGAUAUGGCUUAAGGUGUUUGGUACAAGGCAACUUUAAAGAAUCCACGAAAUAACUACUCACUACAUUCGAGCAACUCCCACUAUCAAUAAUGAGUGAACAUAAGUUACCUUUAAUAAAACACCGAGAAUGGAAAAUAUUGGUCCUUUGGCUCUCAUCAUCUUUCACCUGAAUGUUAAGGGUUCGGCGAACUACAAAGCAAUGGAAAUUAGCAAAGUCCCCUUCCUUUGGUGGUUCGACCAACUCUUCGCCAUUAUCACUGUCAUCCACAAGUUCUGGCAUAUCUGGAUCUGUUUUAUUAGAGUCGGAAGUGUACUCACCAUUAUCUUUCAGAAGAAGUAAUCUUGUGUUAGGGCAUUCCCUACUAUAAUGACCACGCCCUUUGCACUUAAAGCACUCAAUCUCACGAGUCCUCUUCGCACUCGAAUCUCCUAAAUUGGGCUGCUUAGAAGGUGUUUGCGUUUUAACAGGAACCCCUUUUUUCCAAUCUGAUUGCUUGCUUCCAUUACUCAAAGAAGGCUUGUUAGUAACGAAAGGUGAUUUUGAGCUCUUAAAAUCAGAAUUGGAAUUGUUACCUCGGUAAUAUUGCGAAGUCGAGAAGGAACCAAACCUUUGUUCCUUUAGUUGUUGCUCGAUCUCAAUGGCUUUAUGAACUGCUUCUUCCAAAUCAAUGUAAGUUUGUAGCCUCAAUGUAUUAGCUAUCGGCCUGUUCAAACCAUCAAUAAAUCGAACCAUAGUUGUUUCUUCAUCCUCCUCCACAUUAGCUCUCUGAAUGAGCAUCUCCAUCUCUUUAAAAUAUUCAUCCACUGUCCUACUACCUUGGAUAAGUCUUCUCAGCUUUGUUUUAAUUUCUCUAUAGUAGUGAGGUGGAAUAAACCUUUUACGCAUAAUCUGUUUCAACUCAUCCCAUGUCGAAAUCUCACCUUCAUAAUUCCGAUGGCGGUUUACCCCAAGUUGAGUCCACCAACUUAAUGCAUAAUCAGAAAAUUCCAGUGUUGCUAACGCUACCUUUUCAUCAUCCGGACAUUUAUAAUACCGAAACAUAAGUUCAAUCUUAGAUUCCCAUUCACAAUAAGCGUCAGGAUCAUUCUUACCAUGAAAUUGGGGAAUUGUGAAUUUCGGUUUUGCCAAAGAAGAUUGCCCACGAUCAUGAAAAUCAUCAUCCAUUCUAGUGACACGUCGAGGGUCGCGCCUCUGGGGUUGGUUAUCCCUGUCUUCUUUGAUUGGAUCUCGAUAUUGAGGUUCUUGAUUCAAUCGCACCUCAUUGAUGGUAGCAGUCAAAGCUCGAAGAGCAGCAGCCUGUUCAUCCAACUGUUGUUGGAAUUUUUUAAAUAUGUCACUAUUAUUAUCACCUGUAGACAUUUUUUUUAAAACCUGCAAAACACUUAACACUCAAAAAUAAAAGUUAUCAAACCUCACCGUUAAUCACUCAAAAAGAAAAAAUCAAAUUCUCAAUGAGGUCGAAUUCAAUCUUGUGAGUUCUUUAUCAGAGUUUAUAUCAACCAAUUAGAGAGUGUGAACCAAACAACCAAAGAAUCCUAAUUUGCACUAGGAUGCCAAAAACUGACGAGACACCAAUUGAUUCGUGUUGCACCGAGGAAGAAGUUGUGCACACGUUUAAAUCCUACUAACACAAGAAACAAGAAGGUGUUAGAUAACGUAAAGGAAGAAUAAAGGUAAACAAAUGAAAACCUACAGCUAAGAAUCAAUAAAAAUUACUGAAAACAGAAAACCCGAAAAACUGCGGAGUAACUUGACAACUUCGUUCGAGGUGUUCCCGAUCUCCAAAAAUCACGAAAUUAAAUCUGGAGUGUCCUUAUAUAUUUAAUUUUUGAUAUGGAAAUUUUGGGCACC